Molecule: long non-coding RNA, 46806 nt
Filed under: Setaria italica (foxtail millet)
Lineage: Eukaryota; Viridiplantae; Streptophyta; Magnoliopsida; Poales; Poaceae
Description: long non-coding RNA (SITA_LNC004233)
Source: RNAcentral
GGGGAUGUACCAUGGCUUGUGUGUCACUGAAGGUGGCCAUCGGUUGGUAUUUGUUGAUGUUGCCCGUCAUGAUGGAAAAUGUUAUGGCCCGAGGAUGCCCAACACUGGUUUCACCCUCACCUCCCGGACAUUGAAGAUGACAGGGAAUUGCACCACGCCGUGGGAGUGGAAUCAGGAUGCUGUUGUCACUUCAGAUGAACUAUGGCAUGCAAACACCAUGGAGAGUCUCCCUCGUGACAUUGUGAUGCUCCCAUUGCUGAGUAUGGAUAAGGCCAAUGUUGCGCACCUUUCAUUGCUUGAAUGGGAUGGUGGCAGAUUCUCAUUAGUUUCCAUCGACUUGAGUAACAUGCAAGUGAUGGGCCCAGUCAUUACAUACCUCAAAGGGGAGGAUGAUACUGCUGAUGCUGACAUCGUCAAGGCAAAGCAAGGAUUAUGUGCACACUUUAUUCCAUCCGAAUUCCCCAAGUUCCUGGAUCUCAGGUAGCUUCAGCGUUGCCUCCCACUUUUACUUGAGCACAAUUUUUUUUCAUGCAGCCUUUUGCUCUCUUUUUUUCAGCAGUUAAGGUUUCUGCCAUGUUAUUCUUGAAACCUUUGAGGAAUCAACAGAAUGUGCUGGUUGCUGGGAGUAAUAUGGAUCAAUGUUUUCAAAUCUUUAUGUUGAGUCUAGUCACUGGGGUACAAUUAGAUGGCUAAUCGUGACUAGGCAACGAUUAAAUUUGCGAUUAGCUUUGAGACCAGUCGAUCCACCCUUGCCUAUAGUAGAGAAUGAUAGAGUAUAACACAAAGGUGACGAACUGAUCUCUUGGUUUGAGCCCAACACAUAAUUGUUCUACGUGGGUUCUUCAAUCUGAAAGUGCAUAAGCGUGCCAGCGUUGUGCUUUGUUUCCUUCACUAUUUUGAUUCUACAUGUCAAAUUAUUGAAAGGUUUUGUUCAGUUACCAACAACAUGGAUCCUUAGAAGUAGGUGGCACCCAGCGAAUCAGCAUCAUAUCGAAGAACCCCUAGGUCUUCUAAACAAACUGGCUGGAAUUGUGGAAAUCAAUUAAACUUAAUUAUAUCCAAAUUUUUUUUCUUGUCAAAUUGAUGUGUUAGCAACCAUACUGACACUCAAAACAUCACUUAUUUGUAACAUAACGUUGCGGUAUUACAAUUGUUGUUCCGAUUCUCACGGGUUUGUUCAAAGGUUAUUUCAUUUUAUUUUAAUUUCUUUUCAAAUCCUAAUAAUUAAGACCUGCAAGAUUGGUCUACAAAACGUCCUGGUUUAACCACUAGUGAAAACUCUCUCUUUUUCUGCCCUUUCCAGAACGUGCCAACGCGUACAUGCUGCUGCUGUAUCUUUGUCGAGUCCGAUGGAAGAGUUUAAAACCGGUAUCAAUUUUUGAAUAUUUAAAACCAUACGAUCCCUUGAGAAUGUGUUAGGCCUAAUUUUGCUACUAGAAUAUUUAUUAUUUAUGUGUUCAGAUAUUAACAACCUGCAAUUUGUCACCUUUUUUUGCAGGAACAGUAAUCUGUCACUUCUCAUGGUUGGAUUGAAAUGUGAUGAUUGUUGAUAGGUUUGCUAAACAGAUGGAAGUUGGAGGUGUGACUACUUGAAUCAAUGGGUAAUAGCAAAAAAAAAACAUUGAUCUACUUAAGCAGGAAAGAAAAUAAUAAUACUGACGCUAGUCACAAGCAAGUAAUGUUUUGAGUCAUGUGCAAUUAACCAUUACAUUUUUUUUUGCAAAUUACUACCUAAUGUUCUUUCAGAUACAAACACAUAUCAAGAUUAUUUAGCCUUCUUAAUUUAUGAUUAACAAUUUAUUCUAAAGAUUUGUGGAGCACUACUCAAUUUAUAUUACAGAAUACUUUUACAUCAUGCCAAUAUUAUUAUCAUGAGUAAUACAACUCAUGAUAUAUUGACGGUCAAAUUAUGAGUUUAGAGAUCGACCGCACUAUGUUUGUAUCAGAAAAUGGUUUUACAAAGCUGUAGUAUUGUAGUGUUUUACAAAACAAAGAAAUGUCAAAUUAUCUGUUAACGAUGAAUCAUGACCGGAGUCCAGCGCAAGCACUAAAACUAGAAUGGUCGUUCUGAUUCUCAUAGUUUUCUUAAAGGUUCAUUUGGUGUUUUGUUAAGUAAAAUAUACUCUUACGGUGUCAUCUAGAUCAAUAAACUCUCAAAAUAUAUUUUCAGGUCGCCAAAUUAUCUCAAGGUGUCAUAUGGGUCCUAAACUCUCAAAGUACAUAUUUAGAUCCCAAACUUGUCCUCGGUUUUCAUCCAGGACCCUAAAUUCUCAAAAUACAGUUUUAAAUAUUAAAACUUGUCACCUAUGGCUGAUGGUAAUGAUUACUCCUCGCUUAUUGCCUUCAUAACCACCUUAUGCUAGUGAUCAUGCUUGUGUUGCUUGGCGCUCGAUUGGGAGAUCUUAAAAUGUACUUUGAGAGUUUAAGAACUCGGAUGACACCCCGAGAUAAUUUUGGGUACCUGUGUUUUGAGAGUUUAGCUUGCCUGAACAUGUAUUUUGAGAGUUUAGGGACCUAGAUGACACCCAGUUCAGGAACCAUGCAAAUAUUUUACUUUUUUUUAACUCAAAUACGAAUAAUUAAUCCCCCCAAGAUUAUUGGACUAUAACACGUCCUUGUUUCAGUAGCGAAAAUAAUUAAGCUCCGCAAGAUUAUUGGACCAUAACACGUCCUUGUUUCAGUAGCAAAAUCUCUUUUUAAUUUGUUACCUUUCCGGAACGUGGCAGCGCGAGAAGUUGUACGAGUCAUGAGUGUGGCUUUCGUAGUUGUCGGUCGAGGUCUCCCUGGACGAACAAGUGGCGAGUACAUCCCUGGAAUAAUCCACACCAGACCGCCGGCCGGUGAGUCACGGAGGCCAUAACUGCGACGGCAGGCAAUGCAAUCCCACCGUGGUGACGCGCCCUCUCCGUCGGCGCGCCGGGCACGGAGGACGAGCCAGGCAACCGUCCCCGGUGGCCGGCGAUGAUGGCGGACGGCCGGGGUUAUCCUCCCGGCGAUGAUUCGUUGCGGAUUAUUGGCUUCGCGCGCCGCCUCUCGCUCUCAGCCGGAGAUCAAUCAGGCAAACACUAACGAACUGUGCUAAUCCUGAUCUCCUUCUUCCUAGUACGUGGACCUGCCUGUGAUCACGGGUGGUGCGCGCGGCGGAGGUACGGCGGUGGUUCACGCGUGGCCGUUGCACGCCCGGCGCGGCGCGGCUCUGACCGGCUUGACGGCCGCCGCUGGUGGGUGGAAAUGGCGCGGCCAGGUAGAGCUGGCAUCGGCGCAUGGCGGCGGCGGGGCUCGGACGCGGCGAGAGGGAACGUGCGGCGCCGCCAGCGCGCGCGUGGUGUUUCUCGCGGCUUGCUACGAGUACCGAGUGGCCGGGGAGUCAGCCUCUCUGUGCAAACGGAACAUGCUGUGUUUGGUUGGUGAACGCGGCUGGACGACGACGACGACGACGCGUGCAAGCACAGACGAAUUGGACGACGACGACCACUGGCUUUUGAGGUCACGUAACAGGCCGAAGAGGUCAUCUUCCACAUUUGGUGGCGAGGCUUAUCUCUUGCGGUAGUAUAUAUUUUUCGAAUGGCUUGUCAAAAAGAAAAAAAAAGAAUAAUUAAAAAGAGAGAAGGGUGCCUACGCUGUGCAAUGGGCCCAGAAAGAUGUGAUAAGGGGCCCACCGCUUGAAAUGAGUAAUGAUGCCUUGCGCGCUCGAAAUGGAAUAGAAUCUUUUAGUCAACAAAAAUUAUAGGAUGGUUGAAAUUUUGAAAGAGUUUAUACUCUAUAAUUUGUAAAUUUUGAUUGAAGUAUCUCUUGAUGCCUACAGUCGAGGCUGCUGCAGAGAGAUUGCGUCCUGGUGCUUUUUCUAGGAUUAGAAGCUUUUAGUUUAAAUGCAUUUUCCUAUUCAUUUUGCAUGGUACAUGUUUUUGGCACCAGAUCAUCACCCAAGAUCACCAUUAUUUAACUCAAGGUCGAGCAUCUAUCCUUCCUUUUUUUUUUUGGAUUUAACUUGGUUUGAAUCAUAUCGAUACUUCUUUUUUUGGAUUUUGCAGAUUCCAGCUCCAACCUGAGGUGCUGUUCUUCCUGGCCUGGUGUAUUACUUCAGGUGAUGUCCUAAAAGAACAAUGGAAUUGUCCCUCUGAUAACUAUUUUGAUAAGAUUUUCCAUUCCCUACCUUGGCCCUCUUAUUUCUCCGGCAGUCUAGCACGAUAGAUGACUUGAUUGAAGCAUUAAGUAAAGUGGUAAUUGAAUGGUUAGUAUUACGGUUCAUACCAUGGACUUUAUCGUCUUGCUGCAGUUUUCCAGUGGUUGCAACUUAUUGAUAUGCCACUUUUUCAUAAACAUGAUUGUCAAGUGGUCACAUUGUGAAAGAUGAUUUUCUGAAGGGGACCCAAAAGCCUGAAUAACUUUCUAGGAUACUAACCUCCGGCCUAAACCAUGUUAGGCGCUCUUCUUUGAGCAGAGAUAUGCUGUGAAUCAAUUUUUUCUUGACUUUUAUGAAGGCUUGGUUCAUCUCGCAGAUGUAGGAUAAGAGCAAGAGGAUGACUCAACCUAUGGCCCCAAUUGAUCUGCUGCACAGAUAUACUUUGCUCUCUUAUGCGGUUAUUUAUUGGAUUUUUAGCUGGCCAAUAUUAGAAAAUCGUAUGCUUCUUAAUCAUAAAAGCUGAUCUCUUGCUCACUCUGAAUGAUAGCAUUUGUACUCAAGUGUCGUUUGUGUUCCUGUGGCAGAGACCUUUUGAUCUCAGGUAUUCCUAUAAUUAUGUCUACAUAAGUAGCAUGUGGCAUCAGAGCCAAGAAACUUGACCGAUUCAGCAAAAUUAUAAGUAAAUUUUGUAUGCAGACUUUUGGUGCUGCUGCUUCCUUGGGCAUGUGUGGUUUCUGAAACAACUUAGAGACUUCAAGUAUGCCCUCUCAGUAUAGGUUUCACACAGCUUUCUUCUUCGGAUCAUAUUAAAAACUUUUCAUGUCUCUAUGAAUCCCUAUUUUUAUCUGCCACGCCACUUAUUCUUUUUUCUAUCCUGCAUACAAUUGUGCACUUUUAUUGUGUAUACACACAUGAUAGUCAUUUUCAGUGCCAUUUUUAUUAUGUAUUUCCAGCAGAGCAGCAUAGUUGAUCACCUAAUUAAAAUACUCAUCACAGUAAGAAAGCAGAUUGCUCAUGGUAUGUUGCUAAUUUCUCAUGAGCUUAUAGGUGAAUGAUCAUAUGUUUCAAUAUUCUUCCUCUUAGACUACGCCACAUUUUUUUUUAGCUUGGUACAUCAAGCUGUGCACAGUAAACAUAUGAGAUACAUUCAUACCGAUUCCAUGUCAUUAUUGGCUUGUUUAUGCUAUCUUCUACUACAUGACAUACAUGAACAUGUAACCGUACAACAAUGUGCGCGCAUGUAACCAGUACUAGUGCCCUUUAUUUUACAGAGAGAGCUGAAUGCUGUCGACUGAAAUGUCACUGGUUCAAAAAGAAGCGCGCACAGCUCUCUGCAUGACUUUACACCCCUAGCAACUAGCAUCAUCAGCAACAAAUUGGUUACCAGCCAUGUCAACAUAUCAGGACUGCUGCUGCUUUUUCCUGCUGACGAUGAAACAGCAGAGCGACAGGUACAGUUAACGGCAGUGAACAGUGAUUAAGACCGACCAGGGACUGCGACCCAUCUAUCUGGUCUCACCAACUGAAUUGCAGAAUAAAUGGAUAAAAUUCCAGGUAAAUGGAUUGUCAAAAAAGGCUCAUCUCUUCUUGCAGCACUUUUCCCUUUUCAGGUCCCAUCACAGAAUGGCUUAUCAAUCAAAAAGAAAAAGAAAGAAACAAAGGUGGAUGCUGUGCAAUGGGUCCAAGAAAGCUGUGAUGGGGGCCCAUCACUCAACGAGUGAAUGAUGCCUCGUGGGCUCGAAAUGGAAUAAAGCUUGCCUGCCCUUAAGCUUAAACCUAACAGUUGAGAAAGAUGCUAAUCAGGAAUCACACUCAAAUUAAGGGCCCCUCGCCUGAAUGAAAAUAGAAUAAAGCACAAUUAUUAAAAAAAAUAGAAUAAAGCAACAAAGUUCCUUCAUUCUCAAAUGAUGAGCGCCAAAAAGAGUUCCCUCCCGCUUCACGCAAGGGAAUAACCAUGGCCUCAGAUGAAGCACUGCCUUUUUAAUCCAGUGUCAACGGUAGACAAGAGAUCCAUAAAGGAAGCAAUGGAUUUUUAAUCCUGGAUAUGCUGAGAGACAGUGCGGUUUAUCCGUUGUUGUCCUUUCUGGGUCCCAAAAAUGGAUUGUCAACUGAAUGAACGAUUGAAUGAAAUGCCUUGUGGGCUAAAGAGGCUAUAAAGAAAGAUUGCCUGCCACUAGGAGUAUACGCACUGCAACGCCCUAGAUGCUUAAACUUAACUGUUACCAAAACAAUCAGACCCUAAUCAUAGCAUGAUACCAUUCAUCGUUCAAGUACAUUUACCUUGCAUUGGAAGUAUCAGUGGUGUCCUAUAAUCCUUAUUAAACGGAUGGUCCGUGUUCCAUAUAUGUCACUUAGCUAGAAAAUUUUAUUCAUAAAGCAAAAAGAACUCAAAAGGUACUUAUUCGUUCUUACAAAUUGAUGAAGUUCAAGAGAAGUAUUAAGACGGGAGCAUAGAAUAGUACAGUUUUCCACAGCUCAUGUUUCUCAUCUGAAUAAACCUUAUAAAACAUAUGAGGUAUCCACACUAUCCUGACAUGCUAGAAUAAAAGAAGCAGAUGAUACAAGCGACAUGGGUAGGAGCCCCAAGGUCAAGCUAAAAGCACGAAAGAUAUUAAGAUAACUAGCUCAGUCCAGCGUACAAAAACAAUUGAGUAGUCUCAUUAUUCUUUGUUGCUCGGGAAAUUUGGAAGCACAGCAAUAGCCCGAUCUUCCGAUAGGUAUGGAUAAUUUAAUUGGUGGAGAACUCAAUAUUGAUGAUCCGGACUUCUAAUCAGACACGAUUUGAACCCCUGCAACCGCUACACCGCUGCUUCGUUGGUUAUCAAUCAAGCACAACUCUAUUGACCUCGCCAAGAAGGCUUUCCCUACGGGCGAAUCGAAGAACACAAACAAGAAAGUAUAAACACGCAAUCUGAAAUUGCAGAUGUAUAUAAAAUAGAUCCGAGUAAAAGGUUCAAGCUCUCGAUUCGAAAAGACUAAUCGACACAAUCAAGGAGAUCAAGAACAUGAGCCUUGGAUCACAAUAAAAGGACUUGUUGCCACAAUUACAAUGAAUCAAUCUCAGUUUCUCAAUGAAAAACUAAAACUAAAUAAAACUCGAGUCUUUCAAGUGGCGGCUACUAAGUUUAUAUGAAAAAAGGGCAAGCUAGGGUUGGGGACGACCAGGAGAGGGGCGCCCACAACAUUGGCUUAAAGCCCGACACGAAGGUCAACUUGGCCAAAAACUGGUGAUAAAGCACCUUGUCAUGGUCACACAGAAUAAUCCAUGACGCUUCUAGAGCUAGGGUCAGAAUCAAAUGAAAGGUUUCGUCAUUUUCUUUCAUUUUCUUUCUAGCGCAUUAAAGAAUGUCUCGUUUCGAUAUCGUAAGAAGGAGAUAUUGCUAUUUUUGUGCAGGGUGGUUGGCUGAAUUCGAACCGAACGCGAACAUCAAGUUGGUGACAACUUGUAACUUGGAGAAGGCCGAGGCUCAUACGUAUCCAUCAUGGUGAUGUCCUUAUCAGUAAAAUAUAUAUAAAUUAACAAGCAUAGAUAUUAUACGAAUUAACCAAAUUAAAACUAUAUAGUAAAUUAGCACGGGCUAAAAUAAUUUUGAGCUAAAUAAAUAUAGGGUUGGAUUGUGAAAAAGAUACGAGGGUCAUGAUCCAUUACCGCUCGCACCGCACAUCGAUUAAAAGGUGGGCCGAAACAGAUAAAGGACAAAAAAGAAUCAUAUCGGCCCACAAAUGAAAUGUUAGACAGAAGAACGCGAAUCUUGAAAACAUAUGGGCCGUUCAAAACCGACGGAAAUGAGCCCAUAUUUAUUAGCCGGCUAAAUUAUACGGAGGAAGAGAUUUCAAAUGGUGAAAAGGAAAGGAAAAAAAAAAAGGCAAUCUGGGCUAAUCUUUCUACGUGCUGGGCUGAUCACAUGUGAGCCGAUACAGACACGUCAGGCCACCCGCACACACUCCUUCCCACCCGGCCGGGCCCACACGCAGGAUUGCAGAGGAUAGAUCGAAUCAAUAGCCAACUCCUCUCGUCGUCCUCGCCUCCAAAUCGAGGCAUACCCCAAACCCUAGCCAUCCCCAAUCCGGCCGCCGCGUCUACCGAUCCGUUAGAUCCAUGGCCGCCGCCGCUGCCGGCGACUCCGCUGUACCCAACUGGGUGAUGCUGGAGCGCUUGGCCUUCCGGAGGGACGACCCCGCCUCCUUCCGCGAGGACAGGAGGACCUUCGCUUCCGGCACCACCUCCACCGGCACUCAAUUCGACGUCUCCUUCAUCCUCGCCGAGCCUCCCACCCCCUCGCGCCUCUACCUCUCGUGGCCGGAAGGGCCCAAGCAGGAGAGCCGGGGCCUGGUCAUGGCGGCCAACCGCAACCUCGUCCUCCUCAGGCUCGACUCCCUCAUCGACGAAUCCGAUCCUUUCGGGGAGGUAGUGCAUGAUUACUUCAUCUACAUAGCUGAUCCCUCCUCACAGUGGACACCCCUGCUCAGACGGCUGCCCCCCUGCACCGAGUACGACGAUUAUUUUGAGAGGCAAGUUACUCGCGUUUUGCCGGCGCUGGCUGUUGGUCUGUUGUGCCAUGGCGAAGACGAGUUUGCCGUGGCGCAUCUGGACAUCAGGUCUCGCAAAAAAAAAUCAGGGUCUCGCAAAAAAAAAUUACCUAUCCAAGCUGAGCUAUGCGUGCUACGCUCGUCAUUGUCCUGCAGUGAUGAUGCCAAAUGGGAGACCAAGAUCCUUCCGAUACAGUACCAAUACGAUGAUUUAUCCUCUGAUUUUCUGUACUGGUCAGUGGAUGGUGUAGUUCCCUUCAAGAAUGCCUUGUGCUUUGUUAACUACUGUAGAGGCAUCCUUUUCUGCGACGGCGUCUUUGAAGACAGCCCCAAGGUCUCCUACAUCCGCUUGCCUCUGGAUACUUAUAUCCGAGGGGCUGAUGGCGAAGCACGCAAGGGGAUGUACCAUGGCUUGUGUGUCACUGAAGGUGGCCAUCGGUUGGUAUUUGUUGAUGUUGCCCGUCAUGAUGGAAAAUCUUAUGGCCCGAGCAUGCCCAACACUGGUUUCACCCUCACCUCCCGGACAUUUAAGAUGACAGGGAAUUGCACCACGCCGUGGCAGUGGAAUGAGGAUGCUGUUGUCACUUCAGAUGAACUAUGGCAUGCAAACACCAUGGAGAGUCUCCCUCAUGACAUUGUGAUGCUCCCAUUGCUGAGUAUGGAUAAGGCCAAUGUUGCGCACCUUUCAUUGAUUGACUGGGAUGGUGGAUUCUCAUUAGUUUCCAUCGACUUGAGUAACAUGCAAGUCAUGGGCCCAGUCAUUACAUACCUCAAAGGGAAGGAUGAUACUGCUGAUGCUGACAUCGUCGAGGAAAAGAAAGGAUUAGGUGCACACUUUAUUCCAUCCGAAUUCCCCAAGUUCCUGGAUCUCAGGUAACUUCAGCGUUGCCUCCCACUUUUACUUGAGCACAAUUUUUUUUCAUGCAGCCUUUUGCUCUCUUUUUUUCAGCAGUUAAGGUUUCUGCCAUGUUAUUCUUGAAACCUUUGAGGAAUCAACAGAAUGUGCUGGUUGCUGGGAGUAAUAUGGAUCAAUGUUUUCAAGUCUUUAUGUUGAGUCUAGUCGCUGGGGUACCAACUAGAUGGCUAAUCGUGACUAGGCAACGAUUAAAUGGCGAUUAGCUAUGAGACCAGUCGAUCCACCCUUGCCUAUAGUAGAGAAUGAUAGAGUAUAACACAAAGGUGACGAACUGAUCUCUUGGUUUGAGCCCAACACAUAAUUGUUCUUUGUGGGUUCUUCAAUCUGAAAGUGCAUAAUAGCGUGCCAGCGUUGUGCUUUGUUUCCUUCACUAUUUUGAUUCUACAUGUCAAAUUAUUGAAAGGUUUUGUUCAGUUACCAACAACAUGGAUCCUUAGAAGUAGGUGGCACCUAGCGAAUCAGCAUCAUAUCGAAGAACCCCUAGAUCUUCUAAACAAACCGGCUGGAAUUGUGGAAAUCAAUUAAACUUAAUUAUAUCCAUAGUGCCUUCCUUGUAUAUCAUGUUUCAUUCUGCCAGUAGUAACCUCAGCAACUUGACGGUCUUGGGAAAUUAGGCAAUGGUAGUCUGCCUGAGGUUAAUAUAGGCCCUUUUUGUAUCCGCUUAUUUCCUGCUUAUCAAUGGAAAUAAGCGAUAAGCCCACCCAAACGCCUAGCUUAUUUCCCACUUACCUCCCAAGCCGCUUAGCCCACAAUCUGGAAAACAACUAGCGCCCCGCUUAUUCUCUAUGCGGUCUUGGGGCCGCUUCUUGGGCAAGCGAAGCGCUUUUUCCUGAUACCCUCACCCGUCCGCUGCCUGCCGCCCUCCGACCGUCGCCGGCUCCGUCCGCCGCCCGCCUGCCUCCACCGCUUCCCUGCACAAAUCCCAUGCAGAUCCCGUUGCCAUCAGUCACCAGCACUCCUGCCCAGAUCCCGUCGCCGCCGGUUCCGUUCGCUGCCCGCCGCCGGCCGACCCUACGCUUGGCCCCCUGUGCUUGGCCUCCGGCCGGCCCUGCUGUUCUUUUUUGUGAAGGAGGUGGCGGAGUGCUGGCCGUCUACUGCUGAGUGUUGGUCGUGAGCAGCAUUUGAGCUCGCCGUGCGUGCUGCCGUUGUUGUUGAGAAGGAGCUAGAUAUGGGUGCAUUGCGUCAUGUUAUUGCUGUCGCUAUGGUUCGUGAUUCGUUGUUGUACUCAUGAUGGAUGUUUCCAUACUAGACCGUUCUAUCAUAUGAAUUUCAUAUUAUUGUAAUGAAAUUUCUAUUUAACAAACUCCAAAAAUAUUGGAAUUAUUAUCUUCUCCUCAGAUUCACAAUAAAAAUGAGCUAUUAUCAGCCUCAGGGGCAUUCAGGUCAAUUUACCAGCCAGGACAGACAAUCGACACAAAAUAAUCAGGAUUGCCAAACACCCAGCUUAUACAGACAGCGGAUUCUCCAGACAGCAGGCAGGCUUUUAAGAUAAGCCUGCUUGCCAGAUAAGCGAGUUCAGAAAAGCGUAUACAAACAGGACCAUAAAUGUUGCACAGCUUAUUCUGUUGCCUAACUGUUGCUUGUCACGUUGAUCCCAAAAUCGACCAUAAGCUAAGUUAUUUUUUCUUAAUGACGUCCGAGGCACCUGAGAAUCUUUUAUAAUUCUUGGUAACCAUGGAUACUAUCAAAAUAACUUCAGCAAUGGGUGAAUCUAAGACUAUGGGAAGCCUAAAUUUCGAUUUGUACAGAUUAUCUCUGCUGAAAAAAAUUAUUGAAAUCAUCAGCAUGUGUUGUAGCUGACAAUUAUUGUUUCCUAUUUGUAUUGAUGAAGUUCUUGCUACUGUAUUGCAGGAAGAGAGAGAAUCAUCCAUAAGUCCUGUCACCAUAUCGGCUGGCCACCGUCGUCAUGUGUGUUGCUUCUUCAUUUUCCAGUUCUGUUGUGCUGGAUUCUACUGCCGACUUUGUUGAUUGGCUACUACAAUUCUGAGUUUAGUCCUCAGCUUUUGUGUGUUCCCUGCACUUGUGUACUAUAAAUAGCCAGGAAAAACACCUUUACCCGGCUCAUCCGUUGAACUAUAUGAUAAUGCUAGAUGAUGUGUCCAUGCCUUACUAACGUCUUCUACAUGCCAUGCGAGUUAAAAAUCCUGCAAUCAUGUUUCGUGGUAGCAGUUUACCUUUGCACAAUGAAACUCCUCACUAAACCACAGUUCAAUUUGAGGGACUACUGCGUUGUUUUUACAGGGAUCUAAUGCCAUCAAUCAAAUUGUAAAAUACAGACAGGUACGCGUGGAAUGGACACUUGUGUUCAUUCAGAUUUUUGUGAUAUUUCAUACCUAAUGAUUACCAGGUUGUCACGCCCCUACAUGCAAAAUUGGUCUACGAGAUGGGAUAUAAGCUCAAAAGGACGUGAGAGCUGUAUUAUCAUGUAGCUCAUGACCUGGCAGAAGUGAAUAGUUGCACGAAAUACAACAUUGCAAACAAGGUUUUUAUUCAUUUUCUCUGCUGAUGGCACAUGGUAGCAGAAGCAGUGCCACCAAUUGGUGAAAGAUUUUCAGUAAACUGAGUGUUUGACAGAACAAUAUGAUGCCACCAAAGCAAUCUGCAUGAGUUCUCUACCUCCGGAAGUCCAGAUGGUUGCUCUGUUUCAUUCCUCACCAUGGUCAUGGCAGGGCAUGAUGGCACCCCCCCCCUCCCUAGGCGGGGCGCGGAGGCUGCAGGUUCAACUCAGAGUUUAGACCUUAACUUGUUUGUGAGCAAUGCAGAAUGCUACAAAUGUAAUACAGUGGGCAUGCAUGAUGCUGAAACAAACUAGUGCAACUUUUAGUGGAACAAUUGAUGAAUUAUGAUGUGUUGUCCAAGUAAAGGAUCGGUGGUGUUGUUUUGCUGAUCUUUUAGCGAAAAUCUAGUGAUAGUGUGUGGAUAUAUAUCCUAAGUUCCUAAUAACUCAUAGAUGAACAAUGAAUGCUAUAUUGAAUUGAAGCCAUGUUUGUUCUAUUCAAAAUGCAGGGAGCAUGCUCGAGCGGGCUUGGGGGGUCAUGGAGGGUCUGCUAAUGCUGGCACAAAGCCAGACUGGUUCCUUGAAGGGUGAGUAAUUAAUAUCUUUGAUUCAUCUAAGCAGUGCAAAAGUGAUGUGCUUAAUGCCUUGGACAAUGAAGCACCAGCUACUUCUAUGUUUUUUCCACCAAGAUUAGCUCAUGAUUUUGUCACUUUUUCCCACAACCUGCAAGUUUUGAAGCACUUUACUUUUGCCAUGUUAGCCAAAAUUUGGAGACAAGUACAAAGAGUAAGGAUAACCAACUCAUUUCUAGUAUUGGAGCAUCAAAAUCUAGUUCUGGAGCAUCAAAAAGGUAAUACACAGAUCUUAAAAAAUUGGUCAUACUGCUAUUGCUAUUUUGUUGCUACUGUUAUUUUGUUGUCUUUUGUUCAAAUCUAGUUCUAGCAUACACAUGUCAAUAUCAGAUUCAAAUGAACCUCCGCCUACUGCUGCUCCAGUCAAGGCAAAGAGCAAAAGGAAAAAGGAGCCUACUAAAAUGAAAACCACCAUUUCUAUACUGCCACUUGACAGCCCUACAAUGGGCCAAAAAACAAAAGGGUGGAUCCUGCUAGCCCUGCAAUGAGCACAAGGAGCAAAAGAAGGCUCAGCCUGUGAUCCUUAUGAAUCUAUAAAUUUGGACUCCGCCAUGAAUCUUUUUAUAUAUCAACCUUUGUGUGUGAACUUGCAUGUGAAUUUGAACUCCUAUGUGAACUUGCAUGUAUUUGUGGUGCCGUUCUGUGAGCUGUUGCGAUAAAAGGAGCUAAGCCUCAGAGCGUUUCCUAGGAUCUGAAUGAAUUUUUCCUUCUUUUUUCUGCUGUCCAGAUCUACUUCUGAGGGAGUUGGAUAUAUUCUAAGGUGCUUGCCAAGUGUUCAAGAGAGGAUUCUGCUUGUUUUUCGUGCGUGUAUAAUGGAGCAACAAGUGGAGGAGGCGAACGGAGCAGCCGUGGAGACCUGCCACAGGGUGCUUGCUUUGCAGAAAAAAAUCAGAAAAAAAAGGCAGGCAGUCGCGUGCAUGCUCCCAGCAAGGAAAAUGAGGCAGAAAAAAAACAAAAAAAUGGCAGCUGCAUGCGCUGCAUGCAAAAAAAUAGCAGCUGCAUGCGCCCGCGCGAUCUGCAUGCGCCGGCCAGUCUGCAUGCGUCAGGAGAAGAAGACCCACCUGCACACACCCUCCUUCCCACCCGGCCAGGCCCAGACGCAGGAGACAAGAGAUUAAAGAGGAUAGAUCGAAUCAAUAGCCAACUCCUCUCGUCGUCCUCCCCUCCAAAUCGAGGUAUACCCCAAACCCUAGCCAUCCCCAAUCCGGCCGCCGCGUCUACCGAUCCGUUAGAUUCAUGGCCGCCGCCGCUGCCGGCGACUCCGCUGUACCCAACUGGGUGAUGCUGGAGCGCUUGGCCUUCCGGAGGGACGACCCCGCCUCCUUCCGCGAGGACAGGAGGACCUUCGCUUCCGGCACCACCUCCACCGGCACUCAAUUCGACGUCUCCUUCAUCCUCGCCGAGCCUCCCACCCCCUCGCGCCUCUACCUCUCGUGGCCGGAAGGGCCCAAGCAGGGGAGCCGGUGCCUGGUCAUGGCGGCCAACCGCAACCUCGUCCUCCUCAGGCUCGUCUCCCUCGUCGACGAAUCCGAGCCUUUCGGGGAGGUAGUGCAUGAUUACUUCAUCUACAUAGCUGAUCCCUCCUCACAGCGGACACCCCUGCUCAGACGGCUGCCCCCCUGCACCAAGUACAACAAUUAUUUUGAGAGGCAAGUUACUCGCGUUUUGCCGGCGCUGGCUGUUGGUCUGUUGUGCCAUGGCGAAGACGAGUUUGCCGUGGCGCAUCUGGACAUCAGGUCUCGCAAAAAAAAAUCAGGGUCUCGCAAAAAAAAAUCAGGUAUCCAAGCUGAGCUAUGCGUGCUACGCUCGUCAUUGUCCUGCAUUGAUGAUGCCAAAUGGGAGACCAAGAUCCUUCCGAUACAGUACCAAUACGAUGAUUUAUCCUAUGAUUUUCUGUACUGGGCAGUGGAUGGUGUAGUUCCCUUCAAGAAUGCCUUGUGCUUUGUUAACUACUGUAGAGGCAUCCUUUUCUGCGACGGUGUCUUUGAAGACAGCCCUAAGGUCUCCUACAUCCGCUUGCCUCUGGAUACUUAUAUCCGAGGGGCUGAUGGCGAAGCACGCAAGGGGAUGUACCAUGGCUUGUGUGUCACUGAAGGUGGCCAUCGGUUGAUAUUUGUUGAUGUUGCCCGUCAUGAUGGAAAAUGGUAUGGCCGGAGCAUGCCCAACACUGGUUUCAGCCUCACCUACCGGACAUUGAAGAUGUCAGGGAAUUGCACCACGUCGUGGGAGUGGAAUGAGGAUGCUGUUGUCACUUCAGAUGAACUAUGGCAUGCAAACACCAUGGAGAGUCUCCCUCAUGACAUUGUGAUGCUCCCAUUGCUGAGUAUGGAUAAGGCCAAUGUUGCGCACCUUUCAUUGCUUGACUGGGAUGGUGGAUUCUCAUUAGUUUCCAUCGACUUGAGUAACAUGCAAGUGAUGGGCCCAGUCAUUACAUACCUCAAAGGGAAGGAUGAUACUGCUGAUGCUGACAUCGUCAAGGAAAAGAAAGGAUUAUGUGGACACUUUAUUCCAUCCGAAUUCCCCAAGUUCCUGGAUCUCAGGUAACUUCAGCGUUGCCUCCCACUUUUACUUGAGCACAAUUUUUUUUCAUGCAGCCUUUUGCUCUCUUUUUUUCAGCAGUUAAGGUUUCUGCCAUGUUAUUCUUGAAACCUUUGAGGAAUCAACAGAAUGUGCUGGUUGCUGGGAGUAAUAUGGAUCAAUGUUUUCAAAUCUUUAUGUUGAGUCUAGUCCCUGGGGUACAACUAGAUGGCUAAUCGUGACUAGGCAACGAUUAAAUUUGCGAUUAGCUCUGAGACCAGUCGAUCCACCCUUGCCUAUAGUAGAGAAUGAUAGAGUAUAACACAAAGGUGACAACUGAUCUCUUGGUUUGAGCCCAACACAUAAUUGUUCUUUGUGGGUUCUUCAAUCUGAAAGUGCAUAAUAGCGUGCCAGCGUUGUGCUUUGUUUCCUUCACUAUUUUGAUUCUACAUGUCAAAUUAUUGAAAGGUUUUGUUCAGUUACCAACAACAUGGAUCCUUAGAAGUAGGUGGCACCCAGCGAAUCAGCAUCAUAUCGAAGAACCCCUAGGUCUUCUAAACAAACCGGCUGGAAUUGUGGAAAUCAAUUAAACUUAAUUAUAUCCAUAGUGCCUUCCUUGUAUAUCAUGUUUCAUUCUGCCAGUAGUAACCUCAGCAACUUGACGGUCUUGGGAAAUUAGGCAAUGGUAGUCUGCCUGAGGUUAAUAUAGGUCCUUUUUGUAUCCGCUUAUUUCCUGCUUAUCAAUGGAAAUAAGCGAUAAGCCCACCCAAACGCCUAGCUUAUUUCCCGCUUACCUCCCAAGCUGCUUAGCCCACAAUCUGGAAAACAACUAGCGCCCCGCUUAUUCUCUAUGCGGUCUUGGGGCCACUUCAUGGGCAAGCGAAGCGCUUUUUCCUGAUACCCUCACCCGUCCGCUGCUUGCCGCCCUCCGACCGUCGCCGGCUCCGUCCGCCGCCCGCCUGCCUCCACCGCUUCCCUGCACAAAUCCCAUCCAGAUCCCGUUGCCAUCAGUCACCAGCACUCCUGCCCAGAUCCCGUCGCUGCCGGUUCCGUUCGCUGCCCGUCGCCGGCCGACCCUACGCUUGGCCCCCUGUGCUUGGCCUCCGGCCGGCCCUGCUAUUCUUUUUUGUGAAGGAGGUGGCGGAGUGCUGGCCGUCUACUGCUGAGUGUUGGUCAUGAGCAGCAUUUGAGCUCGCCGUGCGUGCUGCCGUUGUUGUUGAGAAGGAGCUAGAUAUGGGUGCAUUGCGUCAUGUUAUUGCUGUCGCUAUGGUUCGUGAUUCGUUGUUGUACUCAUGAUGGAUGUUUCCAUACGAGACCGUUCUAUCAUAUGAAUUUCAUAUUAUUGUAAUGAAAUUUCUAUUUAACAAACUCCAAAAAUAUUGGAAUUAUUAUCUUCUCCUCAGAUUCACAAUAAAAAUGAGCUAUUAUCAGCCUCAGGGGCAUUCAGGUCAAUUUACCAGCCAAGACAGACAAUCGACACAAAAUAAUCAGGAUUGCCAAACACCCAGCUUAUACAGACAGCGGAUUCUCCAGACAGCAGGCAGGCUUUUAAGGCCCUGUUUGUUUCCGCUUAUAAGCGGCUUAUCGGUGGAAAUAAGUGAGAAUCCCGCCAAACACUUUGCUUAUUUCCACCGAUUCUCGCUUCUGUGGUAAGCCGCUUCAGAAAUUUGAACUACGAGAAGCGAAAAGCGAGAAGCAAGAAAAUCUUCGCUUAGAUUAUAAUCCAAGCGUGGCUAGAAGAAGCGUAUACAAACAGGACCUAAGAUAAGCCUGCUUGCCAGAUAAGCGAGUUCAGAAAAGCGUAUACAAACAGGACCAUACAUGUUUCACAGCUUAUUCUGUUGCCUAACUGUUGCUUGUCACGUUGAUCCCAAAAUCGACCAUAAGCUAAGUUAUUUUUUCUUAAUGACGUCCGAGGCACCUGAGAAUCUUUUAUAAUUCUUGGUAACCAUGGAUACUAUCAAAAUAACUUCAGCAAUGGGUGAAUCUAAGACUAUGGGAAGCCUAAAUUUCGAUUUGUACAGAUUAUCUCUGCUGAAAAAAAUUAUUGAAAUCAUCAGCAUGUGUUGUAGCUGACAAUUAUUGUUUCCUAUUUGUAUUGAUGAAGUUCUUGCUACUGUAUUGCAGGAAGAGAGAGAAUCAUCCAUAAGUCCUGUCACCAUAUCGGCUGGCCACCGUCGUCAUGUGUGUUGCUUCUUCAUUUUCCAGUUCUGUUGUGCUGGAUUCUACUGCCGACUUUGUUGAUUGGCUACUACAAUUCUGAGUUUAGUCCUCAGCUUUUGUGUGUUCCCUGCACUUGUGUACUAUAAAUAGCCAGGAAAAACACCUUUACCAGGCUCAUCCGUUGAACUAUAUGAUAAUGCUAGAUGAUGUGUCCAUGCCUUGCUAACGUCUUCUACAUGCCAUGCGAGUUCAAAAUCCUGCAAUCAUGUUUCGUGGUAGCAGUUUACCUUUGCACAAUGAAACUCCUCACUAAACCACAGUUCAAUUUGAGGGACUACUGCGUUGUUUUUACAGGGAUCUAAUGCCAUCAAUCAAAUUGUAAAAUACAGACAGGUACGCGUGGAAUGGACACUUGUGUUCAUUCAGAUUUUUGUGAUAUUUCAUACCUAAUGAUUACCAGGUUGUCACGCCCCUACAUGCAAAAUUGGUCUACGAGAUGGGAUAUAAGCUCAAAAGGACGUGAGAGCUGUAUUAUCAUGUAGCUCAUGACCUGGCAGAAGUGAAUAGUUGCACGAAAUACAACAUUGCAAACAAGGUUUUUAUUCAUUUUCUCUGCUGAUGGCACACGGUAGCAGAAGCAGUGCCACCAAUUGGUGAAAGAUUUUCAGUAAACUGAGUGUUUGACAGAACAAUAUGAUGCCACCAAAGCAAUCUGCAUGAGUUCUCUACCUCCGGAAGUCCAGAUGGUUGCUCUGUUUCAUUCCUCACCAUGGUCAUGGCAGGGCGUGAUGGCACCCCCCCCUCCCCAGGCGGGGCGCGGAGGCUGCAGGUUCAACUCAGAGUUUAGACCUUAACUUGUUCGUGAGCAAUGCAGAAUGCUACAAAUGUAAUACAGUGGGCAUGCAUGAUGCUGAAACAAACUAGUGCAACUUUUAGUGGAACAAUUGAUGAAUUAUGAUGUGUUGUCCAAGUAAAGGAUCGGUGGUGUUGUUUUGCUGAUCUUUUAGCGAAAAUCUAGUGAUAGUGUGUGGAUAUAUAUCCUAAGUUCCUAAUAACUCAUAGAUGAACAAUGAAUGCUAUAUUGAAUUGAAGCCAUGUUUGUUCUAUUCAAAAUGCAGGGAGCAUGCUCGGGCGGGCUUGGGGGGCCAUGGAGGGUCUGCUAAUGCUGGCACAAAGCCAGACUUCUAAGCAGUGCAAAAGUGAUGUGCUUAAUGCCUUGGACAAUGAAGCACCAGCUACUUCUAUGUUUUUUCCACCAAGAUUAGCUCAUGAUUUUGUCACUUUUUCCCACAACCUGCAAGUUUUGAAGCACUUUACUUUUGCCAUGUUAGCCAAAAUUUGGAGACAAGUACAAAGAGUAAGGAUAACCAACUCAUUUCUAGUAUUGGAGCAUCAAAAUCUAGUUCUGGAGCAUCAAAAAGGUAAUACACAGAUCUUAAAAAAUUGGUCAUACUGCUAUUGCUAUUUUGUUGCUACUGUUAUUUUGUUAUCUUUUAUUCAAAUCUAGUUCUAGCAUACACAUGUCAAUAUCAGAAUUAAAUGAACCUCCGCCUACUUGUUGGGGGGAAAUAUUAACGAUCCCCUAAAUACCGCUUAAAGGAGCAGACGCGAAGGCCCGAGCCCACCUAAGCAUAAUCAAAACUCCGCCUCGCCCGACCGCGGCCUCAGGGUCGGGAACGCCCGACCGUCCUCCACGAGGCUUCCGCCUCGUCCGACUGCGGCCUCGGGGUCGGAGGCGCCCGACCCCUCGCCACAAGGGUCCACCUCGUCCGACCCCAAGCGCAGGGGUCGGGCUCGCUAGGGCCCCCAGGGCGCGCAUCCCCCUCGGAUGCGGACCAGGUGGGCAAGAUAAACAAUCCUGUGGAUCCCCCCUGUCGGCCUCGCCAUAAAUGCGCCGCAGGCCUGGCAGAGGGAAGGAUGACCGCGCUCCUCACGCAACCCGCCGCAAGUACCCAUGCACGACCAUACUUUACAAGCUACAGUGCUGGCGGCUCACUUCCAUUCGCCGCAGGGUACUCAUGGCCUGCGCCGACUGGAGCGGAGGAGAGACUGGCCUGUCCUCAGGCCCCGCGCGCCCUCGGGUCCCGCGCGCCCGGCAGCAAGGAGGUGACGCCCUCUCUCCAGGAGCGAUCAUCAGAACGGUAGCAUCCACCGUCCUCCCCAACGGACACCAGGAUAACGACGAAACGCCUUCAUCAUAACCCGACGCCUACGAAUGCCGAAGGAGCUAUCUGUAGGGAGCGACGACAGUUGGCACACGACCGCCUCCCCCUCCGGCAUGCACGCCGGCGCUCGUCAGGGGCCGACGGAGGCGUCGGGCGUCUAGGAACUUGUUCCUCCCUUCCUGCCGUAUUUUUUACCGUACUACGUUUACACUUUACGGUCCUCUUCGCCCGAUCCCAGCUGUAAUUCCGGCCACUCCCCUUGCGAUAUAAAAGGAGGAACCCGGGGCCGGAGGAGGGGAUCGGCUUCUUCUUCCCCAAGCCAUAGCACAAUACGACGCUCCCUGAGAGCACAAGCACAAAGAGACUUGGGACCAGUCCCUCUCUCGUCGAUCUGUAACCCCUACUACAGAACCCCGCGUGGGCAAUACGAGCAUCCACGAUACUGGACGUAGGGCUUCCUUUGCCCGAACUAGUCUAACCCGUGUCUCCCACGCCACCACCUGAGGCCUUACGCGCAUAAAAGAAAUUUACUAGUCUAAGUCUUGAUCCGCCAAUCUUGACAACGACAGUUGGCGCGCCAGGUAGUGGACCUUUGCGCGUACAUUCCCAGCCUCAGAUGGCCAAUUACGAUAGUAGCUUUGCUUCGGGCUCCCUGAUCCGAUUCGGGAGCCUGGACUUCCUCGCCACCGGGGAAGGGAUCAAGCUGAUCCCUGUCCUCGUCCUGCCCGCUCGCCCGGCUGCCCCCGACCCCGCCGCCGGGACAGCGGCGAGCGGCCGCUCGCAUACCGGAAGGACCUCGCCAGGGGGACGGCCCUUCGGGCUACGCAACGCCACGGGGGCUUACGGGCGCCUCCUAGCACGGUCCAUGACCGCGUCGCCCGCGAGCAACGAGCUCGUAGGCGCGACGAGGACGAUCUCCGACACAGGCUCCAGCAGCGAGAGCCCCCACCCCUCGUGUGAGUGCCUCGUGGUCGACGCGCACUCCGAGGGAUCCAACGGCAACGAUGCCGAGGGGAGACAAAGGGCUCCCCCCUCGCGCGCCGCGGCUACGACCGGAGCCUUACCAAGGGUGCUGGAGUGCUCUCAGCAACCGGAGGCGCGCGCAGGCGCCCGCCAAGAAGUCAAGCACCCCCACCACGAGGGUGGAGCACGACAACGGGCGCACGACGUCCAACAACGCAUCUGCGCAGACAGAGAGUGUCCGCAGCUCUUCGCCCGCGCCAGCCAAAAUGUCGCAGCCGCGGCGGUGUUGCUCCGACAGCUCCCCGAACCAGCAACGCCCGAGGAACGACGGGCACGCCAAGAGAUGCGCAACCUCCUCGAAUGCGCCACCGUCCAGCAGGCGGAAAGUUCCGCGUCCCGACGACGCGGGCAAGACGCCAGCAGGGCGACGCCCGAUGGGCCCCCGGAAAGGCGGGGGGAAUCUGUCCAUCAACCCCCUCCUGGGGCAAAUCAGGCCGCGUCCGCCUGAUGGACUCCACCACCCACGGGAGGCGAGGCUCGAUCCGUCCACCAGCGCGUCGGCCUCGUCCGCGACGCCCGCGACACCCUGAACGCGCGGAGACGCUCCCGCGCGGACAGGGAGGACGGGGUAGAUCGAGGCUACCACGUCCACCGUGGCGGGUGCUACGACAGCAGGGAAGACCGCAGUCCGAGCCCCGGUCCGGCUGGGCCCCGGGCCUUCUCUGCGCGCAUCCUGAACGCGCCUUUUCUGCCGCGCUUCAGGCAACCCACGAGUAUAGCCAAAUACUCAGGGGAGACGAAUCCUGGAGUGUGGCUCAGCGAUUACCGGCUUGCAUGUCAAGCCAACGGGGUGGAUGAUGACCUGUUUAUCAUCCGCAACCUACCCCUCUUCCUAGCCGACUCAACGCGAGCUUGGCUAGAACAUAUCCCUUCGGGACGAGUUCGCAACUGGAAUGACCUGAAGGAGGUUUUCAUAGGGAACUUCCAGGGCACGUACACGCGCCCCGGCAAUUCCUGGGACCUCCAGAGCUGUCACCAGGGGGCGGACGAGUCCCUCCAGGAUUAUAUCCGGCGCUUCUCCAGGAAGCGCACCGAGCUCUCCAACGUCGUGGACGCCGACGUCAUAGGAGCUUUCCUAGCAGGAACCUCCUGCCGGCCCCUCGUCCACGAGCUGGGGCGCUGAGGCCCGUGAACCACGGAGGAGCUCCUCAAUAUCGCCACUAGCUACGCCUCGGGUGAAGAGGCCGUUGGAGCGAUCUUCGACCGCUCCAAAGGCAAGGCGAAACGGGAGGAGGAUGCUGACGAAGGCACCUCGAAUCGCCAGCAGAAGAAGAAGGGCAAACAAUGGCGCGAGGCCCCCCUCGUGGCCGCAGUCGAGCGCAAGCGAGGGCAGCUGCCCCCCGAGGGCGCUCCCGGCUUCUUCGACAAGUUGCUUGAGGGACCGUGCCCGAACCACGAGUUCCCCGUGAAGCACGCCUACAAAGACUGCAACCUCAUGAAGAGAUACUUUGUGGGCAAUCCGGUGAAAGGCGACCGGAAGCGGAAGCCCGAUGAGGAAAAGAAGGGCGACGAAGAGAAGGAAUAUGGCUUCCCCAAGGUGGACGGCUGCUUCAUGAUCUUCGGCGGCUCCGCGGCAUACGACACCAAGCGCCAGCAGAAGCUGGAGCGCUGGGAGGUCUACGUGGCCGAGCCAGCGACUCCGGCCUUCCUGGACUGGUCGGGGCCGGCCAUCACCUUCGACAGGUCUGACCACCCUGGACGCGUCCGGCAUCUGGGGCGUUACCCUCUCGUCGUCGACCCCAUCGUCGGCACGACGCGCCUCACCAAGGUGCUCAUGGAUGGGGGCAGCGGCCUCAACAUCCUCUACGCCGAGACUCUCGACGCUAUGGGGAUCGACCGUUCCCGCCUCCGUCCCAGCAAGGCGCCUUUCCAUGGCGUCGUGCUAGGGAAGCAGGCGAUGCCUCUCAGGCAAAUCGACCUGCCCGUUACGUUCGGGACCCCUUCCAACUACAGGAAGGAGGUCCUCACCUUCGAGGUGGUAGGGUUCCGCGGAACCUACCAUGCCAUCUUGGGACGGCCAUGCUACGCAAAGUUCAUGGCUAUCCCCAACUACACCUACCUCAAGCUCAAGCUGUCGGGGCCCAAUGGGGUCAUCACCGUCGGCACGACCUUUCAGAAGGCAUACGAGUGCGACGUAGAGUGCUGCGAAUACACCGCGGCCAUCACCAUCACGAGCGACUUGGCGGUCCAGCUUGCGGAGGUCACCGAGGACCGGCCCGACUCCAAGCAGCCGAACAUCUCCUUCGAGCCCGCUGAAGGUAUCAAGAAGGUCCCCCUCGAUCACGGCUGUCCCAACGGAGGAGCCGUGCGGAUCAGCGCGGCCCUAUCCCCCAAAUAGGAAAGCGCGCUCGUCGACUUCCUCCGCGCGAACAGCGACAUCUUCGCGUGGAAGCCCUCGGACAUGCCUGGCAUUCCGAGAGAAGUCGUCGAGCACUCCUUGAACAUCAAGGCCGGCUCCAAGCCAGUGAAGCAAGGAUUGCGCCAUUUCGACGAGGAAAGGCGCAAGGCCAUCGCCGAAGAGCUCCAGAAGCUUCUGACGGCCGGGUUCAUCAAUGAAGUGCACCACCCCGAGUGGUUGGCUAAUCCUGUCCUUGUACCAAAAAAGAACGGGAACUGGAGGAUGUGUGUCGAUUAUACCGGUCUCAACAAAGCGUGUCCAAAGGACCCGUUUCCUUUGCCACGCAUAGAUCAAAUAGUCGACUCAACCGCCGGGUGUGAGACCCUCAGCUUCCUCGACGCAUAUUCCGGCUACCAUCAGAUCGCGAUGAAAGAGGCCGACCAGCUCGGUACCUCCUUCAUCACCCCCUUUGGUCCCUGCUGCUACGUUAAGAUGCCGUUCGGCCUCAAAAACGCGGGGGCUACUUUCCAGCGAUGCAUGCUGAAGUGCUUCGGAGACCUCAUUGGGCGGACCGUUGAGGCCUACGUUGACGACAUCGUAGUUAAAUCCAGGAGGGGCGACCAGCUCAUUCCCGACCUUGAACUAGCCUUCGAAAGGCUGAGGGAUAAGCGUAUCAGGCUCAAUCCCGAAAAAUGUGUGUUUGGAGUCCCAAGGGGCAUGCUAUUAGGCUUCAUUGUCUCCGUACGUGGCAUCGAAGCAAACCCGGAGAAGAUAGCGGCCAUCAGCGACAUGGGGCCAAUCCGGAACAUAAAGGGAGUUCAGCGCGUCAUGGGAUGCUUGGCGGCUCUAAGCCGCUUCAUCUCGCGCCUCGGCGAGCGAGGGCUUCCUCUCUAUCGGCUCCUGAAGAAGACUGACCGCUUCGAAUGGACCGGCGAGGCCCAGGAGGCACUUGACCGACUCAAGGACCUCCUGACGAAGGCCCCGAUCCUAGUCCCGCCUACCGACGGCGAGUCCCUCCUUCUCUACAUCGCGGCGACCACCCAGGUGGUUAGCGCGGCCCUGGUGGUGGAACGAGAAGAGGAGGGACACGCUCUCAAGGUGCAACGCCCGGUGUAUUUCAUCAGUGAAGUCUUGUCCGAAUCCAAGACACGUUACCCACAGAUCCAGAAGCUCGUCUACGCCAUCCUUAUCACGAAGAGGAAGCUGCGCCACUACUUCACCUCCCACCCGGUAACGGUCGUUUCAUCAUUCCCAUUAGGCGAAGUAAUCCGGAACCCAAACGCUACGGGGAGGAUCGCGAAGUGGGCGCUUGAGCUCAUGGACCAGGGUAUCACCUACGCCCCCCGCACCACCAUCAAGUCCCAGGCACUCGCCGACUUCGUGGCAGAGUGGACGGAGAUUCAAACGCCAUCGGCGCCAGAGAAGCAGGAGUAUUGGACAAUGUACUUCGACGGGUCACUUAUGAGGGCCCGCGCCGGAGCGGGUCUCGUUUUCAUCUCUCCCUUGGGCGUGCGCAUCAGGUACAUGAUCCGCCUCCAUUUUCCUGCAUCUAAUAAUGUCGCCGAGUACGAAGCCCUCCUCAACGGACUCCGCAUCGCCAUCGAGCUGGGUAUCCGUCGGCUGGACAUCCGGGGCGAUUCCCAGUUAGUCGUCGAACAAGUCAUGAAGGAGUGGAGCUGCCACGACCCCAAAAUGGCAGCCUACUGCAACGAGGUCCGUAAGCUGGAAGACAAGUUCGAUGGGCUAGAGCUCAACCACGUCGCAAGGCGCUUCAACGAAGCCGCCGACGAGCUGGCGAAGGCGGCAUCCGGCCGAAUGCCCGUCCUCGACGGCGUCUUCGUUAGCGACCAGUUGAAGCCCUCAAUCCGUUACCCAGAACUGGCAGGGGUCGGCGAAGCACCCCCGGCCCUGGGAUCGGGACCCGAGUCAGGGGAGGUCGGCAGCGCGCCACCUGUCCAAGACCCGAGCACCAGUCCCGAGGGGGUCGACACCGCUUUGCCCGACUCGGCCCCGGGAGCCGAUCCGUCCGACCCCGUGGUCAUGGAAAUCACGGCAGACCCCGCGGUGGGGGCUGACCCCCCGAUCGACUGGAGAGCCCCAUACCUCGACUAUCUCGUCCGCGACACGCUCCCGGCAGACAAAACGGAGGCCCGUAGGAUCGCGCGCCACGCCAAAUCCUUCGCCAUCAUCGACCGGGAGCUCUACAAGAAAAGCCAUACUGAAAUCCUCCAGCGCUGCAUCACGAUCGAACAGGGAAAGGCGCUGAUCCAGGAUAUCCACGCCGGAGCCUGUGGUCACCACGCCACGCCGAGGACCCUCGUUGGCAACACCUUCCGACAAGGUUUUUACUGGCCGACCGCGGUCGCUGACGCUACCCAGGUAGUCCGCACCUGUGAAGGAUGCCAGUUCUUUGCCUGCCAGACUCACCUGCCCGCGCAGGCGUUGCAGACCAUCCCCAUCACGUGGCCGUUUGCGGUCUGGGGGCUGGAUCUCGUCGGACCCUUCAAGAAGGCGCCCGGGGGCUUCACCCAUCUGCUCGUCGCCAUCGACAAGUUCUCCAAAUGGAUCGAGGCAAGACCGGUGGCGCAAAUCAGGUCCGAGCAGGCGGUGCAGUUCUUCACCGACAUCAUCCACCGCUUCGGGAUCCCAAAUUCCAUCAUCACCGACAACGGCAUACAGUUCACCGGGAAGAGAUUCCUCCAGUUCUGCGACGACCACCACAUCCGUCAUGCUGUCAAGAGUAAACAGAAUAUUAAUAUCUAGGGUGCAUUUUAUCAACGGUUUCCUGCACACUAAUAUUUCACACAUCACAGCAUGACCACACAUAAACCACACUUAUACACAUACUUAUUUAUAAUACAUGCCCUAAAGUUACUUUUUACAAAAACCAGCGUACUACUCGGUCCAUCACAUAUAUCUUACAUAAAUAUAUUACAACAUCUCUCAGACAAGGUUUCACUUCAACCAUCGUAAGGGAAAAUGCCUAGUUCCUCGGCAUUCAGUCCCAGUCGGGCCAUUGCUGCCUGCAGGAUAUCUUGGUCUACGGUCAUCAAUGUUUGCCCUGGAGGAGCGACGGGUGGGGCUUGAUUUACUGAGUUUUCACUUCCGGAUUACGGCCCGGGAUCACUCGAAGUGUAAGAAGUGUAGGAUGCGGAGGUGCUAAUUCCGGAGUUUCCCUCCAUCUCUUCGGGAUCCUCCUCUUCUUCUCCGUCUUCUGGCUCCUCUUCUCCCCAUUGCUACAUUGGCCCGUAGCCCUGUGGAUCUAGCCCAUCGGCAUUGGCAUUGGCCCAGGCAAAUUGUUGAUUUCCCGCGGGAGCUUCACCCUGGUCGUCCUCCAUGUCAAUAUCAAAUUCUUCUAAGUUCUCAUGAGCAUACAGAUCAAUCUCUGGAACUGCAGGUGGAACAGGAUCUUCUUCCACUUCUACCACAGGUACUAAUUGGUCCGCUUCUUCCGGGUUCGAUGGCUGGGGCUCUUCUGGUGGUGGAGGUGGUGGAACAUUGACGAUAUUUUGUGCGGGUACCUGGGCCUGCAUCUCCUCCAAAGCCAGACGAAGUGACAGGAUCUCAUCCAGCUGCUGGAAUCUUUCUGCUUCCAGCCUAUUGACAUUGGAUUCGGCCUCCUCCCUUGCUCUAUCUACCAUGCUCCUGCUAGCCUCUAUGAACCCUUGCAUCACUCGGAGUUUUUCUUCAUAAUCGUCAAUUCUUCUAGAUUGCUCCCUCAUUAUUUUCUCCAUAUCGUGCUCUCUUGCCAACGCCGCCUUUUUGUACAACUCCUUAUCAUGUCGGGCACCCAUCAGCUCCAUCUUAGCAUCUUCAUUUUUCUGCCUCUGGUUGUAAUACUCUCUGAUGCAAGCUUGAUGUAAGUUGUACAUGGCCGUCAUGUAAUCAGAAGCAGCAGCAACCAAGAUAUCGUGCUCUACCCAAGAAGUGUUCUUCAAAGCUUUAAUUCUUCUCCUCCAGAUCCCGUCAUCUUGAUUCUUGAUAGGAUAGAACCGAGCAGAGCUCGGCCCUAUCUCCGCUUUGUGAUUUUCACACAACUCGGUAAGAGCAGUCAUAGCCGCCCUUUCCAUCGUGUCAUUGAACUCAAAACCUGAUUCCAUCACCUCUUCUAGACGCCAAUUGGGACGGGUGUCGUCAUCUGGAAUAUGCACAUAAACAGUGCAGUACUGUUUGUGACCCGUAUCUUCGUUCCUCCAAUAAUAUUCUGGGGGAUUGUGAAAGCCUAAUUCUUGCAGUGUCUUCCAAAGCAACUGCACAAAACCCGGCUUAUCCAAAUAAUGGCCGCGGGUCCAUCCAUCUUUAUCAGUGUAGCCUUCUUGAAACAUCCUAUAAAAGAAACGAGGUCAGGUCUAACGGCACUCACCAAACCCAAAAUUUUUGAAAAUAUGCUUAUGCAACAUGAUGCAACGAUUCCUACGGACUCACAGACUCAUAUACACACUCGUAAAGAAAUUGGUGGCAUCGUAAUCUCUUCCUAAAUACAGACUACCGAAUACUAGCAACACGCAGCAAACAGUUAGCAUCUGCAAAACAAGCAACCAGUUAAUACUACUGCCACCUGUGACUCUUGUUUUCGUUAUAUUAAAGUAGAGUCUCAGUUUAAAAAGGUAAUAUCUGUUGAUUAUCCCAACCUAUGGCUCUGAUACCAGCUGUGGCGGAACCGUCCAACUUAAACUGGUUUAAAUGCGCCUAAUUGCUGCCGACGCAGCAAUUAUUCAAAACGCAUUGAAAACAGUAUAAAUCCGAUCGUCCGUCGAGUGUCCCUAGGACCCCUCGAAAGAUCCACGUUGUAUUUCAUAGCCAUACAUCAGGAUAGUAUCCGCGAUGGGAUAACAUCAACAAACAUUACAUUUUUACAUACAUAUAAAAGGUACGAGUUAUUACAAAACAUAGAUUGAAACAAACUUAACAGUGCAGUGUUAGACAGAGUUCUAAGAUUUAAAACAUAAACAGUUCAGGAGGAGAUGAGCAUUUAAAAUUUUUUUCUCAAGGGUAUUGCGAGACUCAUAACAAUACCCUAGGGCUUCGGGGCUUCCUCCUCUGUAGACUCCUGCGGAGCUUCUGAAAGAUAGCCACAAGGGAUAACCCUGAGUACGGGGUACUCAGCAAGUCUUACCCAACUAACCAAUAUAAUAGCUUUCUUUGGAUGUAUGAUAGCUUUUGGUGUACUUGGCUGAUACAACUUUUGCCGAAAGCUUACUACACGUGAUACCUUAGUUUUAUCUUUUAUUUGGGUUAAGUUAUUACCUAACAAUUCUAAAUGAUGAGCAGAAAGUAAAAGCAACCAUAGAUAUUAAGUCAUACAUCAAACAUUAUCAGAAAGAUAUAUUAUUCAUGAAUUUAUACUACGAUGCUCAACAGUGAUCAAGUGCAUUCAUAACCGAGAAUUGCGGCGAUCCGGAUCAAUUUACAUCCUGCAGGAGAGUACCCUGAUCACCAGCUUUAUACGACUGUCCAAGUCGUACAUAACAACCUCUUGAUUAGCAAAAUCAAUGAUUGGGAAUACGACUACCCGGACCCAGGGACGCACCCCCACAUGGGACCCCACGUCUGGCCCGAUCACCAUGUGAGUUUCAGGCUAUGCCCCUGCCAAUCUCCAGCACGUCAAGCGCGGGUACGAAGUAUUCCCGACCAUAGAGUUUACUAACCUACUGGGCUUUACUGGUCCCAUACCCAGUAAGUGAUCAGAUGCUUAUCACUUGAUCAAAGGUUAAGACAACGAAUCGGGCCUUAACCAAAUUAAUCUAGUAGACAGAACUACAUCUCUAGCUUCUGUCCGCUUCUCAAUUUCCAAGUUAUCUUUUCAUAAGCAACAUGUAUGACUCAAAAGUUUUCCUUAAGGUUGGUAAACCAAGUAUGUAAGCAAGUAAGCAAUUCUAGACUUGGGUAUCUUCUAAGGUUUGAACAAGUGGCAAAGAUGUCCUUAAAACAAGGCAUGAUCAUACACAAGAAUAGGUUUCAAGCAACUCCUAGACUUAGUGCAUACAUAUAGCAAAUAACCGAUAAUUGGACACAUGAAAUAAUAACUCCAAAAUAGAUAGGUAUAAAUGCACCGGGGCUUGCCUUGUUCGCUUAAAAGUUAGUAUUGUCCGACGGGUUGGCUUCACAGGGGACUAAUUCAAAGACUUCUUCGAACUCUGAAGAUCCUUCUGAAAACUCAAAAUAUUCUCCUUCUGGUGCUUCGGGAUCUAUAGCACAACACAUGCAAGGGUUAGGAAUGCAAAAUUUUGAAUAAAAGACUAUACAACUUUCCUUCAUGAUAAAGUUGCAAGACAACAAGGACUAUACAAUCUAUCAUGAUAAAGUUGCAAGUCAACACACAAAAACCCAAAAAGAUUAACCCACAAUUUUUAUUUUCUUACCUAAUCCUUACUUAAGGCUUUUUCUUUUAUUUUUAGAAAAGGUUAUAAUUAUUUUCUAACUUGAAAACCUAAUUUCCUAUGAGUUAAGAAUAAUUUGUGAUUAAGAAAAUGUUAUUUCAUAUUUUAUGCAUUUUCUAAAGAUUAAGUAUUUAUUUAAUUACCUUAAAAGAAAGGCAUUAAAUAAAUACCCAAAUUUUUAUUAUUUUUUUCUAGGGUGUAAAAAUUUUAAUGCAUAAAGGAAAAUAAAACAAGCCUAACAAAAUUGGUUUCACUAAUUUUGGACACUCCUAGAAAUUUCUAUGAUUUAAAUGGUGAAAAACGGAUUUAAACUAAUUAUUCUAUAAAGGAAAUCUAAUUUUCCCGAAAAACACCCCCGAAAAAUUUUCUCACUCAGCUCGACCCUACCUUCUCUCAUACGCGCUGGGCCCACGGCGCGGACCUACCUCCUUUUCCUUUUCAUCUCACCUGCCGGCCUCUUAACCCUCUACUGGGCCUACUGGGCCAUCUUCUUUUUCUUUUCCCUUUUUCCAACCGGCGACGGCCUGACGGCCCAUCUUUCCUUCUCUUCUUCCACGAGGCCGGCCUGCUGGACCUCUGGGCCUCCGACCCUUUUCUUUACACGGCCGUCCGCGUCGGCUUUUUGGGCCUCCGACGCGCCAGCCCAACAAAACGCCCGCGCCCCGGCCUCUUUCUCCUCCUCUCCUUUCUCUCUGCCGCGCGGGCCCGAGCCCCAGGCGCUUCUUCCUCCUCCCGCCAAAACGCGCGCGCGACAGGGGGCGGCGCGACUCACCGGCCGGCACCCUACCGGCGGCGAAGCUAGGUCAGGAUAACAGCUCUAUGCCUUCACGCACCCGCGCGCGGCAACAGCUCCUCGGGAGAUGGCCGGAGCCCCAAUUGUUACGGUCUUACCAUGCUGGACCGUAACGGAGAUCACUCAAACACCAGAAACAUUCCAGAAAUGAGAAGAACUGGAAGAGACAAGUAGUGAUACGAAGAAGUGGGAGUCGAGACAGGAAAGAAGAAUGACAGCUAGCAGAGUAGAAUUGUGAUUUCUCCUUUCCAUCAUUGAUUCCCUAAUCACGUGAUGCUUACAACUUUAUACUCAGGUUUUACACGGCCUUGGGCCCACCUCACAACAACCUUUCCCACCGAAUAAACGCCAGCUCAGAAAUCACGCACAACACCCUCGCCACCAAGUCUGACGCUCGUCCGAUGAUAACACGAACUGUAGCACGUCCAGCACCCUUCAAUUGUUUCUGCAACAUCAGCACACCCUCUUUGCCUUCGUCUUCAGUCAGUGUAUUUAGCUUGCCAUGGCCCUCAAGGACAUGACACUGCCCCCUCCACGAAAACCAGCUUGCCCCCAAGCUGGUGCAUCAGAAAAUCGACGAGAUAUGUCAUGAACUUCCUCCCAAGUAGCCAGGUCCGAUGGCAGAGCUGACCACUGAACCAACAACUGAGAGACAGGUGAGGAACCUUUGGAAACAAUACGAUGAUCCAGCAAAGCUACAGGAACAACUGGAAAAGUAGCUUCCUCGGCAACAUUGGGCAAAUCCUGACUGACUGAAACUUCAGCAGAAAUAUGUUUCUUAAGCUGGGAAACAUGAAUCACUGGAUGAAUACGAGAUUCAGCUGGAAGAUCCAAUUUAUACGCCACUUGACCCACCCGUUGCAAGACUUGAAAGGGCCCUCCACGGCGGCGGGCGGCGACACCUUCGGCCGGUCGCGACUACUCACGACGACGGCACAAACUACUCGAACAACUACUACUACACCAUCCUAGUACCCUAAGGACUUGCCUACGACUACUUAAGAAGGAAGAGAACCAGCGCAAGGUGGUGCUCACCGUGAGCGGGAGGCGCGGCGACGGCGGACAGAAGCGGCGGCGGGUUAAGGCGUGCCGGCGAAGAAACUAGGCAACAAGCUGCUAGGGUUGCUGGUGGGGUAUGGGCGGAGGUGUGGACGGAGGGAAUCGACGGGAGCUGCGGUGUGGCGGUGGAAUUUUACCUGGCGGCGGUGGCUUGGACAGAGGUGCUGGCGGCGGUAAAAAGGAACGGCGGUGAAACGGCGGCGCAGGAGCGGUAAAUAUACAAACGACUUACCGCGCGUAUGGCUGCCACCGUGGUCUACCCAUAGGCUUGCGUGGUGAGGAGGUGGCCAAGCUGUUGCGCUGGCGAGCGACCGACGACGGCGGCGGCGACACGUCCUGCCUGCUCUGUCAUCGCCUCCCCCCUUUUCUUUAGUCGCCCGAAACUUCAGAGUUCUACCACGGCCGAUUUCCAAUCCAACAGUGCAUAUGCGUCUUAACCAAAGUUGUAGAUAAUCUCGAGCUUUCCAAUUCAUCUAUAAACCUUUGCCCGGGAUAAACAUCAAAAAGUCUUCAAAUUUCAAUUUUUCUUGGGCAAUUGACUGAACCCUUUUACCCUUCUAUUCAGUUUCGUCAGUCUCCUGACAGUAACAUCGAUCUCACUUGGAGAAUCAAUUUAGUGAUCCAAUUCCUUUUCUUCCAGUCCAACUUCUCUCCAUUUGUGUUCUACAACAUCCCAGGGUUCCAUUUUGCUCAAGAACGACUACUCCUUUGGAUCUACAUUGCUCUGAAAUCAACUCCAAAGUCGACCAGAUGCUGCUGUUUUCAGACUUUGAGCUUGAAUUUGAAUUCGUUCCCUUCACUGUUCCUGGCCAACAACACCCAAUUCUAGGAGUCCAAAGUUCAUACUUCAACAUGGUAUAGUUGUCCUGAUCCACUUAUUUGAAAAAUUCAUCAGCAUUUAAUUUCCAAAAUGGACUCUGCUGCUGUUUUUCUGGAUUUCUAUUUUCGGACGGUGAACAGUAAGUGCAGUUUUUCAUUUUCUUUCUCUAAUUCCUUUGAGAUAUUUAGGAUUAUUUCUGUUUCAAAUCCUUGAUCCUCAAGUCCCAAUUACUCUUACAUUUCUAUCCCUUAUUUUUGCCGAAUUUUUCUAAAUUUCAAAUUCAAAAUUCAAAUUUUGGUCAAAUUUGACCCGAAUUUGAUUUUUGGCCAAUUUCUUUUUCUUUUCUUCUUGAAUUGCUUCCAAUCCAUCAAAGUCACUUUAAUGACUUAAAAUGGCAGGUGUUACAGUAUCCGACCCUGGCCUCAUUCCAGGACCGCAUACCCCUCGGGGGCUACCAGUUUUGCUCUUCUGCGAAAAAAGAAAUCCCGAGCCGUCUCGGUUCAGGCUUUUUCCUUUAAGCUCAGGGGUAUCCGACCCUGGCCUCGCUCCAGGACCGCAUACCCCUCGGGGGCUAUCAGGGGUUCCGACCCCAGCCGCUUGGAACCAUCUAAAAGAAACGUUUUUUCUUUUCAAACCGAACACUCCCUUCCUAGACUUUUGGGCGCAAAAAAGAGAAGAAUGCGCGAACGGUGCUCAGGCAAGAUUGAUUGGACUACGAAAAAACCUACGCCCCAGCGGCUACGGCACCUUCGCUCAUCAAAACUUACUGACGCACCCGACAACGCAUUCCAAACUUUGAAGCCCAAAGGAACAGCAAAGGGGAUCGGGAUCUUUCGCACAGCGAAGUCAUAAACAGGCCCGUAUGGCCAUCACAAAACAAGUUCGAAACUGACAUAAUUACAUUUUGGGUGCCAGCUCGGUACAGUUAGCUUGACGGGGGGUCGGCAGAAGGGACGGCCUCAUCUUCCAGGAGCUUUGCGAGGGCCUCCGCUGGUGCAAGCACCGCUGCAUCGAUCUCGUCCAGCUUGGCUUCGGAGUAAUCGGCGGCGUACCCCUCGCUCAUCCCGGCAAAGUUAAUGCCGGAAUAAUGGGAGCCGAAGACCCCGAAGGCUCGCCGCACGCCGACGUGAAGCGCGUCCACGGCGAUCUCACGACGCCGACGGCGUACCCCGAGGACACGAGCCGGCAGAGAGCUCGGCCCCUCCUCCGGAACCACGCCAAAGUCGCGCAGACGACGCGGACCGCAUCCUACAGGGCGCUGAGCUCACCGCGCUCCGCGUCGAGCAAGCCCUUUAGCUUGGCGAUUUCACCUGUAGGAAUCGUUCGGAAAAGCCCGCCGUGUUAAAAAACAAACCGCGACACCACGAGAACGCGGGAACCGAAAGGAGACUCACAGUUAGCCAUGGCCUUCAGCUUGCGCUCCCGGUCGGCUCCUCGAGACACGGCGGUCUGGAGUCCCUGCUCGGCCUCCUCUUUCUUGGCCCGCUCAGCGUCCCGGUCUUGCAAAGCCUGGUGCCGCUCGCGACGGACGCGCUCGACGGUCUUCUGGAGGGCUUCAUACUCCCCCCUCAACCGAGCAAGCUCCUCAGCGUCGCGGCGGGCCCUUUCAGCGGCGGCCCGGGACACCUCCUGGUCAAGACGAGCCUUGUCAAUGACGGCUUGGAGCUUGGCGUCCGAUCGCCAUGCCUCAUCCAGCGCCGCCCCCUCACGCCUUUGCAGGUCACGAAUGACCCCCUGGGCGGCAGUGACUUGCAGCGACAGGUCCCUGGUGCGCUCCCUCUCCGCGUUGAAGUGCUCCCAGAGACCCCGCUCCAGCCGGAGGAAAUCAGAUUUCCCCCGACUGCACUCUUGGAGGGCCUGCAAAGCAACGUGCCAUCAGGGAAAAAAGCAAAUGGGAAGGUGCUGAUCACCAACAGUAGGGGCAACAUACCUGGCUGCCAGGGAGGACGGUGUUACCCAGAACCCCCAACGCCGAAGACAGAGCCGCCUGGGCGUGGGCAAGGCCGCCCUGCACCGCCUGCCACUUGUGCCACUCCGCGGCGUCGUCCAGCGUGAAGAGAUGCCUCGGCGGGUCUUCGCGGGAUGACCAGCGAAGGACGGACCCCCUCCACGCCUUGGGAACGGUGGGAGACUAGGCCGAGGCAGGAGCCGAUCCUGACGCUGCCAUCAAGGUCGGCACCAUUGCACUAGAAGCCGCCGGGUUUACCGACGGCCCCGGCACCUGCACGCUCGUCGCUGCCGAGGCCGCCGGCGGUAUCCCAGUGGGCCCCUCCACCUCCGCCGCCGCAACCACCGGGGGAGGCUCCUCCGUUCCUGCCGGAGUCCCCCCAGCGGGCCCCUCCACCUCCGCUGCCGAAGCCACUCCCGCGGGGGUAAUUGGGGCGGAGGUCCCCGCCUCCGUCACCGUUGCCUCCGCCGCCGCACUUUCGGGGGCAGGCGUCCCCUCCGCCGCCGAUCCCGCCACGGCUGCGGGGGCAUCCGCCCUACCUCCCGUCGCCGCCGUCUCCUCCGCCUCGUCGGCGUCAAGGUCGAUCACCUCCCCGCCCUGAGAACCCGGGGGGAUCGUGCCCUGCACCGUAGGGGCAACCAGGGGGACCGAAGGCGGAAUAGGGUCCGCUCCCCAUCCCGCGACUGACGCCGCCGUCGCUCCGCCAGCCGCCAUCGCAGGGGCCGCCUCCGCGGAGGGGUACGCGACCUCACCAGGGACCCCGCCGCUCGUCACGGGCGGGACCGCGGUCCGCCCCCCGGAGGAGGACGACAGCCGUAGCGCCUUCUUAGGCGCCAGCUGCAGGGCAAGGCCACGAGGAGCGGCGCUGCACAUCGACGAACAGACGUCAGCAGGAACGAACGUGAGAAGGGGAGAGGAACGAGGUGCAAGAAAGGCCAACUUACGUUCUUGAAGCACAAGGGCGGCGCGCGCCCUUCGACUCGGAGCCCGACGCCGACCCCGGGGCAUCCGGCAAUGGCCGCUUGGCGCCGCUUCGCUGCUCUCCAGUCGCGGGCACGGCGGUGGAGGCAGUCUCCGCGGACCUCCGAGGAGCGCCCUGGGCGGACUCCUGGGGAGCGCCCCGCGCCGUCUCCAAAGCGGCGGCGGGGGCAGGCUCCGAGGAUCCCUGAGGGGCGCUCCGCGCUGGCUCCGGGAAGGAGCCCCGUGUUGACCCCUGGGGGGCACCCCUCGCCGACCCCUGGGGAGCGUCCCGCGCCCGCUCCUGGGAGGCGCCCCGCGCCGGCCCCUGGGAGGCGUUCCGCGUCGACUCCUAGGGGGCGCCCCGCGCCGGCUCUGAAGCGGUGGUGGGGGCAGGCUCCAAAGACCCCCGAGGGGAGCUCCGCGCCGGCUCCGGGAAGGUGCCCCGUGUCGACCCCUGGGGGGCACCUCUUGCCGACCCCUGGGGAGCGUCCCGCGCCCGCUCCUGGGAAACGCCCCGCGCCGGCCCCUGGGGGGCGUCCCGCGUCGACUCCUGGGGGAUGCGCCGUACUGGCCCCUGGGGCGCAGCCCCAGGGCCUGGUGGAGCCAAAGCCUGGGCGGACACCUCCUCCGCUUCACCCCCCGCGGCCGUCCGCGGGGGUGCCUCCCGAAUGGCGAGUGCGCCCGAACGAAAGGAGGAAAUCAGUUCCUCCUCUUCAUCAUUUUCCUCAUCUUCAUCCUCUUCAUCAUCAUCGUCAUCAUCGUCGUCGUCGUCUGACACGACCGGCCCCCUCCGCCGCCGUUGGAACUCCUUGGCGGCCUUCUUCCUUUUCUUCGCCGUCUCCUUGUCCUUACGGCGCUUCUGCGCCUCAGCAAGGAAACGGUUGCACGUCCGCCGCUCAGCAUCCUCCGGCACCGGCGGGAGCGAGUCCACGACCCGGGUUAGCAAGCCCUACGAACGUAAAACAGCUCCACGUCAGAGUGACAAUCGCAAGAUACAAAAAAAAAACGGGGGGGGGGGGGGGGCGACGCCCCAACCCCUUACCAAAUCUUUGAAGCCCGCAUCCGGGCGCAUCGGCGGGUGCCCGGGAAUCGGGUACUCGACGUCCUUGUCCUCCAACGCCUCCCGAAUCCAUUGCCGGAUCUCGGAAGCGGCGAGCGCACCCGUCGCCAAAACGGGGCCCUCGGUCGGGGCGUCGGGGGUCAUGGCGGCAAGCAGCCGGAUUCGGAGCAUCAGCGGCGCCACCCGUCGGGCGUGGUACGCUCCGAUGACCCCGACGCCGGUGAGCCCGCUCCUCUUCAGCCGGAGUACUCCUACUCGGCCCAAUAGUCGGUAGCGGCCUCUAGCAAGACGUGCCAACUCCUAUACGCAUACGAAGAUCAUAUCAGACGAACCAUCACAACAUAAUAUACAUGCUAUUCCCUUUGCCUCACGAUAUUUGGUCUAGCUUCAAGCCGACCGCUCUUUCUCGAUCCUGUGAUUCGGAAUCCCUUUGUAGGUUAACUCUUAACCGUACGUAGCAUGGCCAUGCAUUUUCGGAUCCGAUCACUCGAGGGGCCCAGAGAUAUCUCUCUCAAUCAGAGAGGGGCAAAUCCCAUCUUGACUGGCCAUGUCUCAUAGCAUGCUUCUUGACAAACCCGAAAGCUACCUUUAUAACUACCCUGUUACGGCGUAGCGUUUGAUAGCCCCUAAGUAGGUCGAUCCACAUCUAGAUUACAUGCGACAGUCUCAGGUCUAAGGACAAAGCGUAUAUGUUGUUUAAAGAGAGAACUACUUCUCGUGUUGGAUCAGUCCUAGCACAUGUCUCCACAUGUGUCCACAUUAUUAGUUCAACAUCUCCAUGUCCAUGACUUGUGAAACAUAGUCAUCAACUAAUACAUGUGCUAGUCUAAUAUUCAUGCGUGUCCUCACAUGAACUCCGACUAGGGACAACUUUAGAAUAACCAUACAAGUAAAGAGUUUCACAUACAAUUCACAUAAUUGCAAAUCAAUUCAAGUAGCCUUUAAUGGAUAUUCAAUGAACACAAUAUACAAAUCAUGGAUACAAAUGGAAUAUCAUCAUCUCUAUGAUUGCCUCUAGGGCAUACCUCCAACAACCUGGCCUCCCGACCGGUCUCCUGCAACGAGCAGGGGCUCGGGGGCUAGCAUCGCAAGCAGCGGCCAUGCGUGUGGUCACGAUUCGCAGGCUCCCCAGCCAAGCUGGGAUAAAAGCAAGCACACCAUAAACAAGAUCCGCGGCGAAACGGCGAAAGAAGCCUCCGGAGGAGCACUUUUGCUCCACCACAGGCUCGGGGGCUACUGUUGGGGGGAAAUAUUAACGAUCCCCUAAAUACCGCUUAAAGGAGCAGACGCGAAGGCCCGGGCCCACCUAAGCAUAAUCAAAACUCCGCUUCGCCCAACCGCGUCCUCAGGGUCGGGAACGCCCGACCGCCCUCCACGAGGCUUCCGCCUCAUCCGACUGCGGCCCCGGGGUCGGAGGCGCCCGACCCCUCGCCACAAGGGUCCGCCUCGUCCGACCCCAAGCGCAGGGGUCGGGCUCGCUAGGGCCCCCAGGGCGGGCAUCCCCCUCGGAUGCGGACCAGGUGGGCAAGAUAACAAUCCUGUGGGUCCCCCCCGUCGGCCUCGCCAUAAAUGCGCCGCAGGCCUGGCAGAGGGAAGGAUGACCGCGCUCCUCACGCAACCUGCCGCAAGUACCCAUGCAUGACCAUACUUUACAAGCUACAGUGCUGGCGGCUCACUUCCAUUCGCCGCAGGGUACUCAUGGCCUGCGCCGACCGGAGCGGAGGAGAGACUGGCCUGUCCUCAGGCCCCGCGCGCCCUCGGGUCCCGCGCGCCCGGCAGCAAGGAUGUGACGCCCUCUCUCCAGGAGCCAUCAUCAGAACGGUAGCAUCCACCGUCCUCCCCAACGGACACCAGGAUAACGACGAAACACCUUCAUCAUAACCCGACGCCUACGAAUGCCGAAGGAGCUAUCUGUAGGGAGCGACGACAGUUGGCACACGGCCGCCUCCCCCUCCGGCAUGCACGCCGGCGCUCGUCAGGGGCCGGCGGAGGCGUCGGGCGUCUAGGAACUUGUUCCUCCCUUCCUGCCGUAUUUUUUACCGUACUACGUUUACACUUUACGGUCCUCUUCGCCCGAUCCCAGCUGUAACUCCGGCCACUCCCCUUGCGAUAUAAAAGGAGGAACCCGGGGCCGGAGGAGGGGAUCGGCUUCUUCUUCCCCAAGCCAUAGCACAAUACCACGCUCCCUGAGAGCACAAGCACAAAGAGACUUGGGACCAGUCCCUCUCUCGUCGAUCUGUAACCCCUACUACAGAACCCCGCAUGGGCAAUACGAGCAUCCACGAUACUGGACGUAGGGCUUCCUUUGCCCGAACCAGUCUAACCCGUGUCUCCCACGCCACCACCUGAGGCCUUACGCGCAUAAAAGAAAUUUACUAGUCUAAGUCUUGAUCCGCCAAUCUCGACAACGACACUACUACUGCUCCAGUCAAGGCAAAGAGCAAAAGGAAAAAGGAGCCUACUAAAAUGAAAACCACCAUUUCUAUACUGCCACUUGACAGCCCUACAAUGGGCCAAAAAAUAAAAGGGUGGAUCCUGCUAGCCCUGCAAUUUGCACAAGGAGCAAAAGAAGGCUCAGCCUGUGAUCUUAUGAAUCUAUAAAUUUGGACUCCGCCAUGAAUCUUUUUAUAUAUCAACUUUUGUGUGUGAACUUGCAUGUGAAUUUGAACUCCUAUGUGAACUUGCAUGUAUUUGUGGUGCCGUUCUGUGAGCUGUUGCGAUAAAAGGAGCUAAGAGCAACUCCAAGAGACUGCUAAUCUUACCCCCAAUACUUGUUUUAGGGAAAAAAGAAGAAAAAACGAACUCCAACAGUCCACCCAAACCUUCCCCAAUUUUUUAGCAACGCUAAAAAACAGCCUACCACCGCGUAUAUUUUAGCGUUGGCAUUCCUCCCCCAAUCCUGAUUCACGCAUGCUCACGUGUCCCUUCCGAUGGGUCCAAUACGAUGACGUGGCCUAUUUAUUAGUGAUCUGCUGUGGAUUGAUAUGUUUUUGGGGGAAUUUUUUUUUGAAGAACCCUCAAUAAAUAGUUUUGGGAAAGAAUUUUUUGAAGUACUCUUGGAGUUGCUCUAAGCCUCAGAGCGUUUCCUAGGAUCUGAAUGAAUGUUUCCUUCUUUUUUCUGCUGUCCAGAUCUACUUUUGAGGGAGUUGGAUAUAUUCUAAGGUGCUUGCCAAGUGUUCAAGAGAGGAUUCUGCUUGUUUUUCGUGCGUGUAUAAUGGAGCAACAAGUGAAGGAGGCGAACGGAGCAGCCGUGGAGACCUGCCACAGGGUGCUUGCUUUGCAGAAAAAAAUCAGAAAAAAAAGGCAGGCAGUCGCGUGCAUGCUCCCAGCAAGGAAAAUGAGGCAGAAAAAAAACAAAAAAAUGGCUGCAUGCGCUGCAUGCAAAAAAAUAGCAGCUGCAUGCGCCCGCGCGAUCUGCAUGCGCCGGCCAGUCUGCAUGCGUCAGGAGAAGAAGACCCACCUGCACACACCCUCCUUCCCACCCGGCCAGGCCCAGACGCAGGAGACAAGAGAUUAAAGAGGAUAGAUCGAAUCAAUAGCCAACUCCUCUCGUCGUCCUCGUCUCCAAAUCGAGGCAUACCCCAAACCCUAGCCAUCCCCAAUCCGGCCGCCGCGUCUACCGAUCCGUUAGAUCCAUGGCCGCCGCCGCUGCCGGCGACUCCGCUGUACCCAACUGGGUGAUGCUGGAGCGCUGGGCCUUCCGGAGGGACGACCCCGCCUCCUUCCGCGAGGACAGGAGGACCUUCGCUUCCGGCACCACCUCCGCCGGCACUCAAUUCGACGUCUCCUUCAUCCUCGCCGAGCCUCCCACCCCCUCGCGCCUCUACCUCUCGUGGCCGGAAGGGCCCAAGAAGGGGGGCCAGGGCCUGGUCAUGGCGGCCAACCGCAACCUCGUCCUCUUCAGGCUCGACUCCCUCGUCGACGAAUCCGAGCCUUUCGGGGAGGUAGUGCAUGAUUACUUCAUCUACAUAGCUGAUCCCUCCUCACAGCAGACACCCCUGCUCAGACGGCUGCCCCCCUGCACCGAGUACAACGUUUAUUUUGAGAUGCAAGAUACUCGCGCGUUUCCGGUGCUGGCUGUUGGUCUGUUGUGCCAUGGCGAAGACGAGUUUGCCGUGGCGCAUCUGGCCAUCAGGUCUCGCAAAAAAAAAUCAGGGUCUCGCAAAAAAAAAUCAGCUAUGCAAGCUGAGCUAUGCGUGCUACGCUCGUCAUUGUCCUGCAGUGAUGAUGCCAAAUGGGAGACCAAGGUCUUUCCGCUACAGUACCAAUACGAUGAUUUAUACUAUGAUUUUCUGAACUGGGAAGUGGAUGGUGUAGUUCCCUUCAAGAAUGCCUUGUGCUGGGUUAACUACUGUAGAGGCAUCCUUUUCUGCGACGGCGUCUUUGAAGACAGACCCAAGGUCUCCUACAUCCGCUUGCCUCUGGAUACUUCUUUCCGAGGGACUGGGACUGAUGCCGAUGCACUCAAGGGGAUGUACCGUGGCUUGUGUGUCACUGAAGGUGGCCAUCGGUUGGUAUUUGUUGAUGUUGCCCGUCAUGAUGGAAAAUGUUAUGGCCCGAGGAUGCCCAACACUGGUUUCACCCUCACCUCCCGGACAUUGAAGAUGACAGGGAAUUGCACCAUGCCGUGGGAGUGGAAUGAGGAUGUUGUUGUCACUUCAGAUGAACUAUGGCAUGCAAACACCAUGGAGAGUCUCCCUCAUGACAUUGUGAUGCUCCCAUUGCUGAGUAUGGAUAAGGCCAAUGUUGCGCACCUUUCAUUGCUUGACUGGGAUAGUGGCAGAUUCUCAUUAGUUUCCAUCGACUUGAGUAACAUGCAAGUGAUGGGCUCAGUCAUUACAUACCUCGAAGGGGAGGAUGAUACUGCUGAUGCUGACAUCGUCAAGGCAAAGAAAGAAUUAUGUGCACACUUUAUUCCAUCCGAAUUCCCCAAGUUCCUGGAUCUCAGGUAACUUCAGCGUUGCCUCCCACUUUUACUUCAGCACAAUUUUUUUUCAUGCAGCCUUUUGCUCUCUUUUUUUCAGCAGUUAAGGUUUCUGCCAUGUUAUUCUUGAAACCUUUGAGGAAUCAACAGAAUGUGUUGGUUGUUAGGAGUAAUAUGGAUAAAUGUUUUCAAAUCCUUAUGUUGAGUCUAGUCGCUGGGUACCAACUAGAUGGCUAAUCGUGACUAGGAAACGAUUAAAUUGCAAUUAGCUCUGAGACCAGUCGAUCCACCCUUGCCUAUAGUAGUGAAUGAUAGAGUAUAACACAAAGGUGACGAACUGAUCUCUUGGUUUGAGCCCAACACAUAAUUGUUCUUUGUGGGUUCUUCAAUCUGAAAGUGCAUAAUAGCGUGGCAGCGUUAUGCUCUGUUUCCUUUACUAUUUUGAUUCUACAUGUCAAAUUAUUGAAAGGUUUUGUUCAGUUACCAACAACAUGGAUCCUUAGAAGUAGGUGGCACCCAGCGAAUCAGCAUCAUAUCGAAGAACCCCUAGGUCUUCUAAACAAACUGGCUGGAAUUGUGGAAAUCAAUUAAACUUAAUUAUAUCCAUAGUGCCUUCCUUGUAUAUCAUGUUUCAUUCAGCUAGUAGUAACCUCAGCAACUUGACGGUCUUGGGAAAUUAGGCAAUGGUAGUCUGCCUGAGGUUAAUAUAGGCCCUUUUUGUAUCCACUUAUUUCCUGCUUAUCAAUGGAAAUAAGCGAUAAGCCCACCCAAACGCCUGGCUUUUUUCCCGCUUUCCACCCAAGCCGCUUAGCCCACAAUCUGGAAAACAACUAGCGUCCCGCUUAUUCUCUACGCGGUCUUGGGGCCGCUUCUCGGGCAAGCGAAGCGCUUUUUCCCGAUACCCUCACCCGUCCGCUGCCUGUCGCCCUCCGACCGGCGCCGGCGCCGGCUCCGUCUGCCGCCCGCCUGCCUCCACCGCUUCCCUGCACAAAUCCUGUCCAGAUCCCAUUGCCAUCGGUCACUAGCACUCCUGCCCAGAUCCCGUCGCCGCCGGUUCCGUUCACUGCCCGCCACCGGCCGACCCUACGCUUGGCCCCCUGCGCUUGGCCUCCGGCCGGCCCUGCUGUUCUUUUUUGUGAAGGAGGUGGCGGAGUGCUGGCCGUGAGUGCUGGCCGUCUAUUGCUGAGUGCUGGCCGUGAGCAGCAUUUGAGCUCACCCUGCGUGCUGCCGUUGUUGUUGAGAAGGAGCUAGAUAUGGGUGCAUUGCGUCAUGUUAUUGAUGUCGCUAUGGUUCGUGAUUCGUUGUUGUACUCAUGAUGGAUGUUUCCAUACUAGACCGAUCUAUCAUAUGAAUUUCAUAUUAUUGUAAUGAAAUUUCUAUUUUACAAAAUCCAAAAAUAUUGGAAUUAUUAUCUUCUCCUCAAAUUCACAACAAAAAUGAGCUAUUAUGAGCCUCAGGGGCAUUUAGGUCAAUUUACCAGCCAGGACAGACAAUCGACACAAAAUAAUCAGGAUUGCCAAACACCCAGCUUAUUUAGACAGCGGAUUCUCCAGACAGCAGGCAAGCUUUUAAGAUAAGCCUGCUUGCCAGGUAAGCGAGUUCCAGAAAAGCGUAUAUAAACAGGGCCAUAAAUGUUUCACGGCUUAUUCUGUUGCUAACUGUUGCUUGUCACGUUGAUCAAAAUCGACCAUAAGCUAAGUUAUUUUUUCUUAAUGAUGUCCGAGGCACCUGAGAAUCUUUUAUAAUUCUUGGUAACCAUGGAUACUAUCAAAAUAACUUCAGCAAUGGGUGAAUCUAAGACUAUGGGAAGCCUAAAUUUCGAUUUGUACAGAUUAUCUCUGUUGAAAAAAAUUAUUGAAAUCAUCAGCAUGUGUUGUAGCUGACAAUUAUUGUUUCCUAUUUGUAUUGAUGAAGUUCUUGCUACUGUAUUGCAGGAAGAGAGAGAAUCAUCCAUAAGUCCUGUCACCAUAUCGGCUGGCCACCGUCGUCAUGUGUGUUGCUUCUUCAUUUUCCAGUUCUGUUGUGCUGGAUUCUACUGCCGACUUUGUUGAUUGGCUACUACAAUUCUGAGUUUAGUCCUCAGCUUUUGUGUGUUCCCUGCACUUGUGUACUAUAAAUAGCCAGGAAAAACACCUUUACCAGGCUCAUCCGUUGAACUAUAUGAUAAUGCUAGAUGAUGUGUCCAUGCCUUGCUAACGUCUUCUACAUGCCAUGCGAGUUAAAAAUCCUGCAAUCAUGUUUCGUGGUAGCAGUUUACCUUUGCACAAUGAAACUCCUCACUAAACCACAGUUCAAUUUGAGGGACUACUGCGUUGUUUUUACAGGGAUCUAAUGCCAUCAAUCAAAUUGUAAAAUACAGACAGGUACGCGUGGAAUCGACACUUGUGUUCAUUCAGAUUUUUGUGAUAUUUCAUACCUAAUGAUUACCAGGUUGUCACGCCCCUGCAUGCAAAAUUGGUCUACGAGAUGGGAUAUAAGCUCAAAAGGACGUGAGAGCUGUAUUAUCAUGUAGCUCAUGACCUGGCAGAAGUGAAUAGUUGCACGAAAUACAACAUUGCAAACAAGGUUUUUAUUCAUUUUCUCUGCUGAUGGCACACGGUAGCAGAAGCAGUGCCACCAAUUGGUGAAAGAUUUUCAGUAAACUGAGUGUUUGACAGAACAAUAUGAUGCCACCAAAGCAAUCUGCAUGAGUUCUCUACCUCCGGAAGUCCAGAUGGUUGCUCUGUUUCAUUCCUCACCAUGGUCAUGGCAGGGCGUGAUGGCACCCCCCCCCUCCCCAGGCGGGGCGCGGAGGCUGCAGGUUCAACUCAGAGUUUAGACCUUAACUUGUUCGUGAGCAAUGCAGAAUGCUACAAAUGUAAUACAGUGGGCAUGCAUGAUGCUGAAACAAACUAGUGCAACUUUUAGUGGAACAAUUGAUGAAUUAUGAUGUGUUGUCCAAGUAAAGGAUCGGUGGUGGUGUUUUGCUAAUCUUUUAGCGAAAAUCUAGUGAUAGUGUGUGGAUAUAUAUCCUAAGUUCCUAAUAACUCAUAGAUGAACAAUGAAUGCUAUAUUGAAUUGAAGCCAUGUUUGUUCUAUUCAAAAUGCAGGGAGCAUGCUCGGGCGGGCUUGGGGGGCCAUGGAGGGUCUGCUAAUGCUGGCACAAAGCCAGACUAGUUCCUUGAAGGGUGAGUAAUUAAUACCUUCGAUUCAUCUAAGCAGUGCAAAAGUGAUGUGCUUAAUGCCUUGGACAAUGAAGCACCAGCUACUUCUAUGUUUUUUCCACCAAGAUUAGCUCAUGAUUUUAUCACUUUUUCCUACAACCUGCAAGUUUUGAAGCACUUUACUUUUGCCAUGUUAGCCAAAAUUUGGAGACAAGUACAAAGAGUAAGGAUAACCAACUCAUUUCUAGUAUUGGAGCAUCAAAAUCUAGUUCUGGAGCAUCAAAAAGGUAAUACACAGAUUUAAAAAAAUUGGUCAUACUGCUAUUGCUAUUUUGUUGCUACUGUUAUUUUGUUGUCUUUUGUUCAAAUCUAGUUCUAGCAUACACAUGUCAAUAUCAGAUUCAAAUGAACCUCCGCCUACUGCUGCUCCAGUCAAGGUAAAGAGCAAAAGGAAAAAGGAGCUUACUAAAAUGAAAACCACCAUUUCUAUACUGCCACUUGACAGCCCUACAAUGGGCCAAAAAACAAAAGGGUGGAUCCUGCUAGCCCUGCAAUGAGCACAAGGAGCAAAAGAAGGUUCAGCCUGUGAUCCUUAUGAAUCUAUAAAUUUGGACUCCGCCAUGAAUCUUUUUAUAUAUCAACGUUUGUGUGUGAACAUGCAUGUGAAUUUGAACUCCUAUGUGAACUUGCAAUGUAUUUGUGGUGCCGUUCUGUGAGCUGUUGCGAUAAAAGGAGCUAAGCCUCCGAGCGUUUCCUAGGAUCUGAAUGAAUUUUUCCUUCUUUUUUCUGCUGUCCAGAUCUACUUCUGAGGGAGUUGGAUAUAUUCUAAGGUGCUUGCCAAGUGUUCAAGAGAGGAUUCUGCUUGUUUUUCGUGCGUGUAUAAUGGAGCAACAAGUGGAGGAGGCGAACGGAGCAGCCGUGGAGACCUGCCACAGGGUGCUUGCUUUGCAGAAAAAAAUCAGAAAAAAAAGGCAGGCAGUCGCGUGCAUGCUCCCAGCAAGGAAAAUCAGGCAGAAAAAAAACAAAAAAAUGGCAGCUGCAUGCGCUGCAUGCAAAAAAAUAGCAGCUGCAUGCGCCGGCCAGUCUGCAUGCGUCAGGAGAAGAAGACCCACCUGCACACACCCUCCUUCCCACCCGGCCAGGCCCAGACGCUGAGACGCAGGAGACAAGAGAUUAAAGAGGAUAGAUCGAAUCAAUACCCCAAACCCUAGCCAUCCCCAAUCCGGCCGCCGCGUCUACCGAUCCGUUAGAUUCAUGGCCGCCGCCGCUGCCGGCGACUCCGCUGUACCCAACUGGGUGAUGCUGGAGCGCUUGGUCUUCCGGAGGGACGACCCCGCCUCCUUCCGCGAGGACAGGAGGACCUUCGCUUCCGGCACCACCUCCGCCGGCACUCAAUUCGACGUCUCCUUCAUCCUCGCCGAGCCUCCCACCCCCUCGCGCCUCUACCUCUCGUGGCCGGAAGGGCCCAAGCAGGAGAGCCGGGGCCUGGUCAUGGCGGCCAACCGCAACCUCGUCCUCCUCAGGCUCGACUCCCUCGUCGACGAAUCCGAGCCUUUCGGGGAGGUAGUGCAUGAUUACUUCAUCUACAUAGCUGAUCCCUCCUCACAGCAGACACCCCUGCUCAGACGGCUGCCCCCCUGCACCGAGUACGACGAUUAUUUUGAGAGGCAAGUUACUCGCGUUUUGCCGGCGCUGGCUGUUGGUCUGUUGUGCCAUGGCGAAGACGAGUUUGCCGUGGCGCAUCUGGACAUCAGGGAACGCAAAAAAAAAUCAGGGUCUCGCAAAAAAAAAUUAGGUAUCCAAGCUGAGCUAUGCGUGCUACGCUCGUCAUUGUCCAGCAGUGAUGAUGCCAAAUGGGAGACCAAGGUCUUUCCGCUACAGUACCAAUACGAUGAUUUACACUAUGCCAAAUGGUGUAGUUCCCUUCAAGAAUGCCUUGUGCUGGGUUAACUACUGUAGAGGCAUCCUUUUCUUCGACGGCGUCUUUGAAGACAGACCCAAGGUCUCCUACAUCCGCUUGCCUCUGGAUACUUCUUUCCGAGGGACUGGGACUGAUGCCGAUGCACUCAAGGGGAUGUACCGUGGCUUGUGUGUCACUGAAGGUGGCCAUCGGUUGGUAUUUGUUGAUGUUGCCCGUCAUGAUGGAAAAUGUUAUGGCCCAAGGAUGCCCAACACUGGUUUCACCCUCACCUCCCGGACAUUGAAGAUGACAGGGAAUUGCACCACGCCGUGGGAGUGGAAUCAGGAUGCUGUUGUCACUUCAGAUGAACUAUGGCAUGCAAACACCAUGGAGAGUCUCCCUCGUGACAUUGUGAUGCUCCCAUUGCUGAGUAUGGAUAAGGCCAAUGUUGCGCACCUUUCAAUGCUUGACUGGGAUGGUGGCAGAUUCUCAUUAGUUUCCAUCGACUUGAGUAACAUGCAAGUGAUGGGCCCAGUCAUUACAUACCUCGAAGGGGAGGAUGAUACUGCUGAUGCUGACAUCGUCAAGGCAAAGCAAGUAUUAUGUGCACACUUUAUUCCAUCCGAAUUCCCCAAGUUCCUGGAUCUCAGGUAUCUUCAGCGUUGCCUCCCACUUUUACUUGAGCACAAUUUUUUUUCAUGCAGCCUUUUGCUCUCCUUUUUUCAGCAGUUAAGGUUUCUGCCAUGUUAUUCUUGAAACCUUUGAGGAAUUAACAGAAUGUGCUGGUUGCUGGGAGUAAUAUGGAUCAAUGUUUUCAAAUCUUUAUGUUGAGUCUAGUCACUGGGGUACAACUAGAUGGCUAAUCGUGACUAGGCAACGAUUAAAUUUGCGAUUAGCUCAGAGACCAGUCGAUCC